RNAcentral lists this long non-coding RNA (50791 nucleotides) under Homo sapiens (human). RNAcentral describes it as "non-protein coding MIR29B2CHG:57". Lineage: Eukaryota; Metazoa; Chordata; Mammalia; Primates; Hominidae. The record is from RNAcentral.
ACACGCCCGGGAAGCGGCCGCCGCGGAGCCGGCGUCCGCAGCGGCUGCGCAUCUCGGGCCUGCAGCGGGGCGCUUGGCGGGCGGGGGCCGGGGGAGAGCCUGUUUGCGCAGUACCCCCGGAGGGCGGAAGGCCGCCGAGGUAAGAGCCGGGACUCGGCCAGGUGGGAGUGGGCACCUUGGGCCGGGCCUGCAGGGCGGUCCCCGAGCGUCCCGGGGUAGGGUGGGCUCCCUGGGGACGAUGCCCAGGGCCCCGGCCGCGCUCCGGUCGCGCCCCACCCCGGCUGCAGCGCGGCCUUGGGGCGCUGCUGGCCUCGCCGCGGGGGUGGGAGCGGUCGCGGCCUGGAGCAGCUCCGGGCGGGCCCCAGGCUCUGGGGCCAGGGCCAGCUGCGCGCAGGGGUGAGUGAGCAGCCCCCGGGCCCUCAAGUGAGCCCCUGUCCGCUCCCCACCUUGCAUUUCUCCUCUCCGCAGUGGGCGUGGUGCCCCUUUGCUGCAGAGGGGGCGCCCAGAGUUGAGGAAGGCUGCGGGGGAGAACGCAGAGACAGGUGGUUGAGGGGGCGAGGGCUGGUGCGCCAAGGCUCGAGGUAUUAAUGCGUAUUUCUUUUUCCCCCCUUCUUCAGGGGGCGCGGAGGUCCGUGUGGAGGAGGAGGCGGGAAGGCCAGAGGCAUAGCUCAGGAGAGGGCAGGUGCUGCGGGAGAUCACUUGGCUCUGUCUCUGUUCAGCUGCCCCCACCCCUGCCAAAUUAAUAAAGUGGGUGUGGUGAUGACGGUGGAGGAGUUUGAUUAAGACCUGGCCCAAACUGCCCAGAACUGCCCCAGGCCGGCCGCCUAGUCCCGCGUGUAUAUCCGGGAGCCGCAGACUCUGAGCAUUCUGUAGAGGGAGGGGGAAUAUUACCCGAAGGAGCUACAGCCACUGAGGCAGCUCCAGAGAUAGGGGCUGCGGAGCAAUCUUCAGGCUCACAGCCCAAGUUCAUAGAUGGUGAAUUGGCCAGGAAUGGUGGGAGAUGGGGGCUGUAGGGAAAUAGGGUAAUUUCCUUAGGACCCCUUCCUUCCAGCUUUGCAACCGUAGACCAAAAUUUGGGAUCUGGCAUUUGUCAAAUGUGCUUAAUUUUUUUUUCUUUCCCUUUCGGUUUGUUUUGUUUUUUAGAGAAACAGCAAGUGACAGAGCAGAGGAACGGCUGGCCCAGCCAAUCCUGGAGCUGCUGUUGCAGCACUUGUUCCCCAAACAAGUGCUCCUACAUUCUGGUAGGAGGACAGAGAGGAGGGGGCUACUGGUCCACACCCCUCCCCUGCCGAGGACCCCAUGGCUGCUCCCCUGCAGGAAAGGCAGCUAGGCUGCCUUAGGCCGGAUGGGCAGAGGCUGCCAUGGCCCAGGGUGGUGACGGUUUUGCGGCCCCUCCCUGCUGCCCAGAGUGGGAAGAAGAGCGCAGAGCCUGGCAAGUUUCUCUCUGUGUCCUCUGGGCUGGAAGGAGCAGGUAUAGACAGGGCCGAGGCAGCCAGGGCCUGGUGCUGCUUUGGCAUUGGUGGCAGGAGGGCUGAACCUCCAGCCCCUUGGGUUUGGUUCCACCCCUGGCCUGUCCCUGGCACUCGACAACUGCUCCUGUGUGCUUAUUGGUGCCACCAUGUUAUAUAACGCUUAUAUAAUCUUCCAGGGCGAGCACUGUGUCUCCGCUCUCAGGUCACGCAGACACGGUGUCCGUGUGGGAGGCAGGAUCUGUGGAAGCCUGUGGGUGAACCUACUCCCCCGAUCCCCAACCUGGCUCCUUCUCCUGAUCUCAGCCAUAGGAGGGGGGCUGGGAGAGCCAGGUCCCUCUCCACACCAGCUGUGUGGGAUGAGAACACGGUUGGCUGGGCAGUUUUCCUCACCUUCCUGCCCCACUAGUCCCACUUGCCCUGUCUGGUAGAGCAGAAGCCAUCCUUGUGCUUUGAUACCAGCUCUUUGUUUUGGGGGACCCCUGGCAUGGCAGGUGGCAUGGCGAGAUGAACCCCAAAAUGUUGCAGUGGAAGAACACAUGGUACUUAGGGUUGGAUAAAGAGAGGGAGAAAUUAGCUCUGCCUUUGAGGAGCAAGGGUAACUAGAAGGAUGGUGGUGGCAUUAUAAGAGAUUUGGAGCAGGCCUGGGGCUAGGGGAUGGUCAGGGAAGGGUGUACAGGGAAGUAGAUCAGACAGCAAAGAUAAACAUGGUGUUCUUUUACUGUACUCUCCACUGGGCUGUCCCUGGUUACCGGGGCAACAGAAGCAGUGAUGAAAAUCAUGCCUUUCGUUCAGUGGAAAAAUUUGGCUCCUCCUCCCGGCUCUUCCUUCUCUAAAUCGCCUGUGACCCAUUGAGAGGGUUAUGCUUCCAAGGAUCAGAGAGAGACCCCAGCAUGUUUUCAUCAUGCUCCCCUUUCCCCAGUCUUCUUUAUCAUCUCCCCUCUUCCUGCAUCCCCUGUCUCCCCCCACAGCUCGGCAGUUGGCAGUUGCGUAGGAGUUGGAGUAGAUGCAGGGGGAAGGGCAUGGACGUCAUCACAGGGCAGGGUGAGCAGAGCGUGGGCAGAGAUGUGGAUGCAGGAAUGCCUGGCACAUGAGGAGGGUCCAGCAUUGAUGAGCUAGAUGGAGCCAAAAGCCUGUUUCUGGGCUGGUAGGAGCUGAGGUGGGCAGGGUGAGAUGAUGGUGGGCCUUCAGAGUUCAGCAGUCUGGGUUCGAGGGAGUAGGAACUAGGAAGGGCCUGAGGUUUCUUGUGCAGAUAUCUUGUGAUGAAAACUACCAAACCGUAUCCCUUUUUGAAGUUAAGAUUUUUGUUUAAGUUUUUUCUUUCAUCUUGUGAUGAAAACCGUGAUUCAUUCAUUCAGCAUUUAUUGUGUGCCCCCCAUAUUAGGUGAGGUUCUGGGAACUGGGAAGCCGAAGGUGAGUAGCACUGGACCUUGACCUUGAAGAGACUGUGGUGAAUGAAAGGAGGAUGAGUAUAUGGGGGAAGAUCUGGCAUUGUUGCAAGCCUGGAAUCUGGGGUCCCCAGCAGGAGACUAGCAACAUACCAGAUCGGAGGUGAUAGGUUAGGGUGGAGCCUGUGGAAAUGAAGAAGAAGAGAUAAUUUGGAGUGCUACUCUGGCUUGAGGACAGGACGUGGGGAAGAGAAAGUGCUGAAAUUUUGAACCUUAGUGAUUUAUAGAAAUAGAAACAUUAGAGUUCAAACUUGUUUUGGGGAGUCAUGUUUGAUUUUCUUUUAGACAUGUUGCCUUCAAGAUGAUGGCAGGGUAUCCAAAUAAAAAUGUUUAUGGUCAGGCAAGUAAAAUAUGCAAUGGAAGUCAGUUCUGGGAAAAGAUUUGAAGGAUAUUGGAUUAUGAAGCUUGAAGGUGGGUAGAGGUAGAUCCUAGGGCCUGGGGCAUUACCUGGAAUUGAGUGAGGCUGUAUGCCUUGUACUGGUUUAUUAUCCCAGGGCUUGCCCAGACCCUGGACAUUUCUGCUAACAAAAACCCACAUCUUCUACCAAACCAUAUCCCUUUUUAAAGUUAGGAUUUUUGUUUAAGUUUUCCUCUCCCUAGUAACUAUGUCCAGGUAUACCUGGAAAAACACACACACACACACACACACACACACACACACACACACACACACACGCAUGCACUUAUUUCCCCCAAGGUCUUGUGCCAUUUGCUUAUAGCUCGGGGACGUGCUGUAGAAAUGUGCCACAAGUCUUUGGCCUCUUCUAGCAAGCUGUUUAUCACCCUGGAGGAGUAAGAGCACUGGACAGAGUCAGGAGACUUUUGCUAGCUACGUGAUCUUGGACACACCACUUCCUUUUCCAGGCCUAAGUGUCUAGUCUUAGGGAUCUAGCUUCUUCCAGUUCUGAAGCCCUCUGAUUUGAUGUCUGGAAAGCUUUUUCCACCUUUGCCCAGGUUUCUGAUGCAGACCAGGCUUUUUGAACAAGUAGCCUAGAUUUCUUAGUACCUUGUGGGAGGGACUAGUAGGGAUGGAGGCCUAGUCCCCAGAGUGGGUCCCUGUCUUCAGUGUGGAUAGGAGCCCUCCGGGUGGAUGGGAGCCUCUGUUCCUCUUUGGAGCAUGGAAAUACUGGAAGAGCAGGUUUUCCCAAUGACCAGGGAUUGCAAACUGUGGCCCGUGGGCCGGAUUCCUGUUUUUGUAAAUAAAGUUUCACUGGAACAGAGACACGCCCGUUGUUUGUGUAUUGUCUGAGGCUGGUUUCAUGCUACAAGGGCAUAGUUGAGUAACUGCAAGGGAGCCUGUAUGCCCCAUAAGCCUAAAAUAUUUACUAUCUUGCCCUUUAGGAUAAAAGAUAAAAACUUGUCAACCCCUGCUGUAGACUACCAGAAAAGUGCUUGGCCUUUUACUGAGGAUGCUUAUGAUGGCUAUUUCAGAUUUCUAGGGUUCUUAAAGAUUCUGCAUUGGGCCUGUCUUUGUGAUCCCAUGAGAGGAUGAUCUGGUAGUUGAAAUAGUAGAUUAUUAGAGUCAGCUCAAAAAUAGUCACUCUGUAUCUAGGAAAGCUCUUUCAUUUUCAGCCUUUUCCCUGGAGCCUGGAGGCCUGAGUUCCUCAGCAGGACUGGGUUUGACAAGCUACUGUCCCUCUCAUUCUGAUUUCCCUGGGCAGUACAGAGGAUAUACUGGACUGACCCAAGUGUUGGGUCAAGGAUAUACUGGACUGACCCAAGCCCAGUGUUGAGUGAGGAGAAAGGAGGCUCAUUGGUUCCGCCUGUCCUGUAGGAUCUUUCCCCUGAUAUCUCUAUUGUUUCUGAUCUUACUGGCACCUUUAGUGCCAAGGUCCUGGAGAUGCCGCCACAGAGAGAGCCUGCAACCCAGCCUGGCAUGUCUGUCUGAACCUGGCACUCAUCCACUCUGUCAGAAUAAGGCCCUGGGCUUGGCGUUUGUGGGACAUGUGUCUGUGUUGGCUUGGGACUGGAAUCAGCAUUCAUUAUUCCUGCAGCCAACCUUCAUGGAGUCCUUCUGUGUCCUAGUUUCCACCUUUUUGACCUGGUCCUCAAGCCAGAGUCUUGCUGAAACUCCUAGCUAGGAACAGGGCUAAAGUUCUCGCUGCUGCAGAACAGCAGCAGCCCAGCAGUUGGGGCAGUUCUGCUCAGAUAGGAAGUGAGACACGUUGGUAGCAGGAGGAAACCACUUGCUGGAAGUAGCAGGGGGAACGGAGGUGACUGAGGUUGAUUCUCGUUACACUUGAUAGGGAGGAGGCCAGCAGCAGGAGGAGGGAGCAGACAAUCCAUAAUAGCAAAGAAGACAGAAGUCGAGCACACCUAGAGCUGCUUUUAGCUGGUAAUGGUAACUCUGGCUCUAGGAGCAUUCCUUCAUACCUCCCCGACACAGUUUCCCCAGAGGCUGUUAUAAAGAAAACAUUCUCUCUUAAAUAUCUUUUCAUUUGUAGGGUUUAGGGUGACCCCAUACUAUAUGGUCUUAAACUUAUGUUGAGACAACUGCACUGACUUGGAUAAAUAAAUAUCAUUUAUCAGAUAUUUAUUAAAGAUCUAUUAUAUGGCAGGCGCUGUGUGAAGUUCUCAGGAUACAGAGGUAAAUAAAAGAUUCACAGUUUGAUCUGGAAGGUUUAUGGGCAGCUGAACCAAUUUUAAUUCCAUCUGCACUGGAUCACAUGCUUCAAGAGAGCAUGUCUGUAUCUGUCUUGUCCUUUGCUGUCACCCCAGUGCUGAGUGGAGAGCUUGGCACACAAUAGGCCUCAGAUAUUUAUUGGCUGACCCAUCCUUGUUUGAUCUGUCCUGGAAAUGUGCAGGAGGAAUCUGAGUGGGUAAGUGGAGGAAGAGAGGUGCUUAACGCAGCAAGUGUGACAAAUUUGGGGGAAGAUGGACAUACUUGGAUGUAUGACGAUGAGUGCCUUUAAGUGACUGCCUUUAAGGAAAAGAGAAGGGUUAAAGCUGUAUGGGCAUGACAGAAUCCAUUGGCAUUAGGGCCAUGAGAAGGAAGGAAUAUAACCUGGCUACAAAGGUGGGUUAGAGGUAGUCAGGAUCAUUGGGUAUAGCAGAGGGCCACCAGAAUUGUGAAGAACUAACCAGCGGCAGAGAAGGGAAGAGUGGAAGGAGAGUAGGAGCCAUUGUGAGAGGAAACAUGGAGACCUCUUCAGGCCUAGGAUGAAAGCAGAAAUGACACAAGUGAGUCUCAGAUGAACAUGAUGGCAGGGAUAAAGAAAAGAUGGGACUCUCAGCUCUGUUCUGCUGGUCUCCUCAGAAACCACUGUGUCCAUGUAUGACUAAAAAUGCCUCUCAGUUAUUUUCCAACAGUGCGGCAAAUGCGAGGAAAUUAACUAUGGUUUGACAUUAUGGUUAGUCUUUUUUUUUUUUUUCAAAUUUGUCAAUGGAAAUUUUCACAGGUACACAAAGAUAGAGUUAGCGUAAUACACCUCAAUGUUCCCAUCCCCCAGUUUUUCGACUUGUAAUCAACACAUGGCUUUUCUCAUUUCUUUUAUACCUUCACCCACCUUUUUCUUACUCCCUUCUUGGAUUAUUUUACAGCAAGACCUAGAUCCUGUAUUAUUUUAUCUAUAAAUACUUUUUAAUAUAUCUCUAAAUGAUAAUACCUUUUAAAAACUUAACCCUAGUGGUAUUAUUACACCUUGAAAAAGCACAGUCAUCCCUAAAUAUCUCCUGUCAUCCAAAUAUCCAAAUGGUGUUUAACUUUCCUUCGAUGUCUCAAUUUCUUUCUUUCUUUCUUUUUUUUUUUUUUUUUUGAAAACAGCCAGUUGGUUUGAGUCAGGCUCCAAACAAGAUCCUCAUGUUUCAUUUAGUUGAUGACAAAUCUUCAAGGCUCUGUUAAUAAAGAUUAUGGUCAUUCUUAAAAGAAUUUAUGUUUUGCAAUUCUACCUUUUAGAUUUACUUAGCUACCCACGAUUCUUCCCAGUCAGCUGCCAUCAACAGCUUCCUGAGUUUUGUUAGAUGAUUUUUAUGAUUUUGAGCAUUUUUUCAUGAUCCCUCUUGCCUUUAUGGUUUAAUGUAGCUAGUCAUUUUUCCCUUCCUUCAGUAGAUGUUUCUUGGGAGCCUGCUCUGUUUCAGGAGCUGUACUGGACACUGGGCCUACACCUGUGAAAAGGACAGACAGGGCCCAACUCCUGGAGCUUACAGUUUGACCACAGGAGAGCUGCUGCUUGGCAGUUUUCCCCGUGCGUUCACCCCAGCUGAGCAGUGUGACCACAACCGUCACUUCUGUGCAGGCAGACCUGCCACGUUUUUAUAGCUUGGUGUUCAUGCUCUCAUGCUGUCAUUUUAUGUGGUUGACAAAGGUGCGCCUAGAAUGUUCAAGAAGCCAGGCAUGGCUUCUGUGGCAGGCCUGUGUCUCAUAGCCACACGACCCGGCAUUCUAACUGUGGUGCUGCUUGGGCCUUGUGUGUAUCCAUGUAACACUUUUGGGCUUGAGUGUGGAUAGCUCUGAAAGUUAAAAUGGAGAGCUUCCUGAAUUGGUGGAUUGUGGAGAGGCUAAAUGAACACGUUUAAAGAGGGGGGCUCUGAAUUGUUACAGGGCUUGGCAAAAGCCAAGUGUUGCUAAUAUGUUUGAGCAAAUUGGAUGUUUCUGUGGCUUUGUGGACUUCAGGUUGGUUUGGGGCUUUUGCCUGUUCCAGUUAGGCUACCUGCCAGCCUUUCAGAUGACAGGCCCACUUUCUUGAUUUGCUGUUCGUUGUGUAUUGGUUAGCCAGUCUGCCUCAGUAGCUAAAUAUGAUGAUACAAUUCAGGCCUGUCUUGCUGAUAAAACUUUUAACUGAUUUACAUUUCUUUAUGUAAGUAAAUAAUCAGACUCUGACUCCUGUGAUGCUCUGAUUUUGAGAAUGGUCCAUGAUUCUUCUUAUAUUUUUGCAUUUUCAGUUCAAAUGCAACUGUAUUGUAGUUACUGGAUUAUAGUGUCUGAGCCUUUAAAAAAAUCUUAGUUAAUAAAAGUAUAUUUUCAGAUAUAAAACCUAGUAUCCUUAUGAUACAUAUCUCCUUGUCACUGAAGGCAUGUUCAGCCUCUGAUGAUAUGUUUUGUUUUCUUUCAGUUAAGUGGUCUUUAAUCGUUUUGAUUGUGUGCCCAUAUCAGUUAAAACUUUUGAGCAAUUCCCCUUGUUUGUGUGUGUAUUUAUAAUUUAUAAAAAGUAGUGCUGUGCUAAAAUACAUUAUAGUAUUAUAAAACACAAAACAAAAGACUUCAAAUGGCUAGGAUAUAUUGUAUUCCCUACCUUCUUCCUAAAUGAACUCUUCAUGGUUCUGUCCGAGGGCAGCCUUCUACUUUGCCCUAAAUUUCAGUUACUCUCACAUAUUCGACAUUGCCCCAGCCUGUCCCCUCCUCCUUGCAUCACCACUUUUUCCCCCUGCUCGAUCGUUUCCAAAGGCUUUCUCAUCUUCAAAAAGUCUUCUUUGGUCACCUCUCCCAGCUACUGCCCCAUCAUCUGUCCCUCCAUAUUUUCAGUCCUUGCUGUGUUCACAUCCUCUCUUGACUCACACCACUCUGAUGAAAGUGCUCCUGGCAAGGUCCAUGGUAACUCCCAUGAUCCUGACUCUAGUGGUCACUUCUUCAUCUUCCUCACAGGAGCUCUUCAGUUUGGCACCGCUGAUCAUACCCUUUUCCUUGACGCUGUUUCUUCACUUGGCUUCCAGGGUGUGUAUUUCUGGCUUUCCAUCUGCCUAAUUGGCCAUUCCUUCUCGGCUUCUCAUCUCCCUGACCUCUAAACAUUAAAGGCCCUGGGCACCUCCUCUCUAUCUUCUCUCAUUCUGUCUGUGAUCCUCUCCUGUUGUAUGGCUUUUAAUACCAUCUAUAUGAGUGAUCUCCAGAGUUUGCUUCAGUGUAAUCCUGGGAGAUCAAUAAGAUUGACCAUGAGCUGAUCAUUGUUGAAGCUGGGUGAUGGGUACCUGGGGGUUUAUUAUACGGUUCUCUCUCAUUUUACUUAUGUUAGAAAUUGUCUUUCUUUUUUUUUUUUUUUUUUUUUUUUUGAGGAGUCUCGUUCUGUCGCCCAGGCUGGAGUGCGGUGGCACAAUCUUGGUUCACUGCAGGCUCCGCCUCCCGGGUUCACGCCAUUCUCCUGCCUCAGCCUCCCGAGUAGCUGGGACUACAGGUGCCUGCCACCACGCCCAGCUAAUUUUUUUGUAUUUUUAAUAGAGACGGAGUUUCACCGUGUUAGCCAGGAUGGUCUCGAUCUCCUGACCUCGUGAUCCACCCACCUUGGCCUCCCAGAGUGCUGGGAUUACAGGCGUGAGCCACCGCGCCCAGCCCAGAAAUUUUCUAUAAUGGAAAGUUAAAAAGUCUAUAUGCUGUUGACCCUUAAUCAUUUGUCUGCAGCCCAAACUCUCUUCUGAACUGUAGACCUGUGUCUCCAUCUGCCUGUUUAGUAUUUCAGCUUUGAUAUUAACAGAUAUUUCACUAAACGUGUCCAAAAUGGAACUCCUGGUUUCCCUCCCCAAUAUGUUCUUCCUGCAGUCUCCCCAUCCCAUUUAUGGGAAUGCUGUUCUUCCAGUUGCUUAUCGAAAACACCUCUGGUCAUGCUUGAUUUCCCUCUUUCUCAUCUGUCCUUCAUCCAGUUCAUCAGUAAGUCUUGUUGACUCUACCUGUAAAAUAUAUCCAAAAUUUCAUCUAUCAGAACUACUUCCGCUGCCACCACCUUGGUCCAAGCCACCAUCCUCUCUCAUCUGCUUCUUUAUUGCCCCUUAGAGGCUGUAGUCCUCCCCGCAGCGAAAACAAUCCGUGAAAUGUUAAGUCACAUCAUGCUCUGCUGUGCCCAAACCCUGCAGUGGCUUUUCUUCUCUCUCAGUAAAAGCAAUCACCCUUACUGUGGUCCAUAAGACCUCAUAGCUUAUCUCAUCACUGCCCAAUAGAAAUAUAAUGUAAGCUACACAUGAGGGUCACGUAGGUAAUUUAAAAGUUUUUGAUAAAGGAAAAAUGAAUGGAAAAUGAACCACUCGAAGUUAAUUUUGAUAAUGUAUUUUAUUUAGCCCAGUAUGUUAACAGUAUUUUCACUUCUGAGAUAUGUUACGUUGCUUUUGUUUUGUUUGUUUGUUGUACUAAGUAAUAGUCAAAGCACAUCUCCAUGUGAACUAGUUGCAUUUCAUGUACUCCAUAGCCUUACAUGGCUAGUGGCUGCCAUCUUGCACAAUACAGGUCCAUACGACCUUACCCGGCUUUAUUACGUUACUUCUGUAUCUAUCUCCUGUUACUGUUUUCAACUUGCACUUCGCUCCAGCAUCACUGGCCUCCUGCUGUUAUUUAGGUAUACUAGGCAUUUCCUGUUUUAGGGCCUUUGUACCUCCAGUUCCCUCUGUUUGGAAUGCUUUUCCCCAGAUAGCCCUGUGGUUAAAUCUCUUACUUCCUUUGGGUCUGUGCUCAGAUGUUACUUUCUCAGAGGGUCCCCCAAGCCCCCAGCAUUCUCUAGCCUUCCUUGCAUCCCUUUCAUGUAGUGUUUUUUUCACCAGUUGGCAUACUAUUUAUUUAUAUUAGUAUAUUUUCUCUCUCUCCCCACUGGAAUAUGUGCUCCAUGAGAGAAGGGAUUUUUGUGAGUUUUGUCCCCUGCUAUAUCUCAGAGCAUGGAAUAGUGCCUGACAUGUGUAUAUAAGAGAUGGAUAUUUGUUGAAGAAUUAAGUGAAAUUAUCUAUUAAGAAUGAUUCUUUUUCACUAAGAACAUUGCAAUUGAGCAUAAUUUAUUAUUUCAGAAUAGCUUGGUGUCAUUUGCAGCUAGAAGUUCUGUUUUGAGUCAGGAUAUUUCAAAAGAGACCUCACAAUGAUAUGCAGAUGCCCAUGGCAGAAAUUCAUCCUGGAUUAUACUUACGAAAUCUUGAUAACUUGUUUUUUAGUCACAUCCACUGUUUUCUGCAAAGGUUUUUGUUGAAAUCCAGCUAAUAUAUUUCAGUCAGUCUUGAUAUCAAUCAGUUGUUCUUACAAACUCAUUGCAAAAUUUAAUACUUUUAUAUGUUGAAUUUAAUAAAUGGGUUCAAGACCCCUGAAAUACUUCAUUUUGGGAGAUUUUAAAACAAGUUUUGAUGUUCUGUUUUGAGUGUGUGCAGAUAAGGAGAUUUUAGAGAUGACAUCCUUACAUUGAAAUUGGCAACAUUAUCACAUAAUGGUAGAAAUGAUUUCCAAGUGCCUGUUUUAAAAGAACAAUGGCUUUCUUACCCAUUAAAAAAAAUUCUACUUUCACCAUAAAGAUACAGAGUAUUUAUUUGUUUGUUUAAAAAUACCCAUUAAGUAGCAUUCUACUUACUGGCACUCAUUACAGAAGAGGUCAGCACAUUUUAGAACUCUUGUUUUCUGGUUUAAAAAAAGUAUAAUUCCUCUUUUUUUUUUUUUUUUUUUGAGACAGAGUUUUACUCUGUUGCACAGGCUAGAGUGCAGUGGCACAAUCAUAGCUCACUGCAGCCUCCAACUCCUGGGCUCAAGCAAUCCUCAGCCACCCUGGUAGUGAGAACUACAAAUGUGCUCCAUGAUGCCCGGCUGAUUUUUAAAUUUUUGUGGAGACGGGGGUCUUGCUGUGUUUCUCAGGCUGGUCUUGAACUCCUGGUCUCAAGAGAUCCUUCUGUUUUGGGCCUCCCAAAGCACUGGGACUACAGGUGUGAGUCACCGUACCUGGCCUGAUUCUUCUCUAAGCUGAGCAACUCUUAGAUAUUUUUACCACGAGAUAAUUAGUGACAAUGUGGUCAGAUGACGUUCGGGUCUCACCGUCUUAUUACAAAGGACUGUUGUUUAUUGUAUUGAAGAUGGUGUCUCUAACUUUGCUUCACUGGGCAGAUGUAAACUGUACUAAAUCAACAGGCAACUGGGGGUGUCACUGUCUACCCUUCUGCAUCUGGAUCUCCUACUCAGACACAAGGAUUCCUCUGGUACCUUAAAUACAGCAACCACCCAACACACAAAUUGAAGGAGUGUGUCAGUGUCAAUUCCCGUAUUAAAUAAUAGUAAAAUUUAAUUUUUUGUAUUUUGGUAAAGUAUAAACAUUGUAAUAUUUUCUUCUUCAUCCUAGUGGAUCUGCUUAUACAUGCCACAUUAGAGAUGAUUGCUCUGAUUGUUUCUUCUAUAGUAACCUUGCUUCCCUAACAACCUUUGAUUGACAUAAAGGUUGAGUCUUGUCUUUUCUGUUGUUUAUAGUACCUGACAGUGCUGUGUUUCACUAAUAUUUGUUGACUGAAUAGUGCUGAGGAGUGUCCUGUUCUCUGACCUCAGUACCAUAAGGUCAUAUUUCUUGGACAACAAAGUCCAGUAGCAGAUUUCUUUGGUGGCUGCUAGAGCCAUUUCAUUAACAGUAUUGAAAGCUUUUGUGAUAUUAGAGAAACAGCUCUGUGGUCCUGUUACUGUUGGCUGUGCAUCCUUCUGCAUCUGACAGGUAGAAAGGGAUGGUGGCAGCUCUAGUCACUGCCAUGUUGUGAUUUAGGAAGUAGAUGGUUGUGUUCAGAUGCUCUGGAAAUGAGCUGGCAGAGAUUGCUAGAAGAGAUGGCUGUGGUAUCUAGAGCAGCCAGCUCUCUUCUUCAUGAGAGGGGUAUAUGUCUUUGAUGCAUUGUUUGAUGUCUUCCAUCAGUUUACAUGCUGAAAGUAUUGGUGCAGAUAUCUGAGAUGUAUGCUUCUCCUCCACCUGGAUAGUCCAGGAGGUAGGUCAGCCAGACACAUCUACUUGGGCGUUGUUUUUCUAACUUCCCUGACUGCAUGCACAAUUUGAAAGAUCAGCAGCUGGAAUGAGAACUGCAGGCUGUGGCUGAGGAACAGAGGCCCCAUGCUCUCUUUGCUGCAACAGAGACAUCUCCCAAGGUCCCCUGGACCCUGUGUUGCUGAGUCAGGCUUGCCCUGGUAUGCUAGUCUUGCUGCUUGGACCACUGGUGAGCCCAUCAGCAUUCAUGGAUUGAUGUGCAUUUACUUAGGAUGGCCUCUGUGAAAGAUUCUGUGUCUGUUUCUCUUUUUGGAUGGAGUGGGGUGGGGAUGGAGAAGGAAUAAGUGAGGUAGACAGAUACCUUCACCUAAAAUAGUGUGUAAAUGUGACACAAAUGAAGUGUAAGAAACUGUUGUAUUAGCCUUAAAUGGGGUUGGGAGCUGGAGGAUGUCUCUGGAAACACAAGGAAGAUCUCAUCCAUCUUGUUUAUGGCUGUAUCCUCAGAGCCUAGCAUGAUGCUUGGCCCCAUCAAGUGCUCAGUAAAUAGGUGUUUGUUAAUAAGUAAGUGUUCAAGGAUGAGAGGACUUCACCUGAAAGUUCAUGCCAGACCACCACAAAACUGAAGGAGGAAAUGGCUUGUUGGCAGAAGGAGGUUGGGAUGUUCAGAGAGAGUGUAAGUGGCAGAGGAAGGGCUGUGUAUUGGAGAGGUAGAGGCAGUCUUGGGAGGCCCUCGAUUAACUUUCUAAGAAUUUGGUUUUGGUGGCUCUUAACUUAUUUUCCUGCCAGUUCAUAUUAGAAGUUGCAUGGAAGCUAUAGUCUCUCCAGGAGAAAAAAAUAAUAAAAGCCCCAAUUUGGCAUACACCGUCAGAGGAUUCACAGAUCCCAAGUUAUAAAAACCUGUUAUAGGGGCCAGGUGCGGCGGCUCACACCUGUAAUCCCAGCACUUUGGGAGGCCAAAAUGGGUGGAUCACCUGAGGUCAGGAGUUCAAGACCAGCCUGGCCAACAUGGUGAAACUCUGUCUCUACUAAAAAUACAAAAUUAGCUGGAUGCGGUGGCGUGUGCCUGUAAUCCCAGCUACUCGGGAGGCUGAGGCAGGAGAAUUGCUUAAACCCAGGAGGCGGAGGUUGCAGUGAGCGGAGAUUGCACCAUUGCACUCUAGCCUGGGCAAAAAAGAGCGAAACUACAUCUCAAAAACAAAACAACAACAACAACAACAACAAAAACAAAAAAAAUCCUGCUAUAGGCUGGUGAGCCGUCAAAUGCUCACUGCGCUCUUAUGGUGGUGAUAAGAUGCUUUUUCUCCUGGAGUCUUUGGGACUUGCCCAAAUGCACUGAGUGGACAUUCUGGGUUUGGAGGGCGCUGAUAAGCAGCAAGCAUGACAGUGGUUCCGAGGAGCUUGGGAAAGCAGUGGGGAAUGGGAGUCUGCACACUGACACAAAUGGAGAGAUCCAGCGUUUGCUCCACUUAGCAGGGGACAAAAAUACCUGUUCUAUUACUUGGAAAAAAUAAAAAAAAAAUAACCUUUACAACUUACUGAUUCAAAAUAUUGAAUGCUUAUGCUAAGUUUUUUUCUGUAACAUGAUUUCCAACUUAGAUACCCACCCAGGCCAUAAUGAUGGAUUCAGAGAGGCAGCAUGUUACAUUUGUGGGAAUGGUGAGUGUGGAAAGGAGUCAUUAGAGUUUUAUAUUACCAUGGCAUAGGGUUUGUAGAAUUCCUUAGCUGUCCUCAUCCAUCAGGGAGGGCUGUCUGGAGGAGGAGGUAUUUCGCAGGCCUCUUGGAAAAGCAGGAAGACUGGGCUGAGGGAGGUUUAAGGUUGGAUUGUUUUUUUUUCCUGACAUUAAAAAGAUUCCCAUAAAAUGUGUAUCUGUACCAUCAGUUAAAAAAACAAAAACAGGCCGGGCAUGGUGGCUCAUGCCUGUAAUCCCAGCACUUUGGGAGGCUGAGGCGGACGGAUCACGAAGUCAAGAGAUCAAGACCGUCUUGGCCAACAUAGUGAAGCCCCGUCUCUACUAAAAAACAUAAAAAUAAAAAAAUUAGCAGAGCGUGCCUGUAGUCCCAGCUACUUGGGAGGCUGAGGCAGGAGAAUCACUUGAACCUGGGAGGCGGAGGUUGCAGUGAGCCAAGAUCGCGCCACUGCACUCCAGCCUAGGUGACAGAGCGAGACUCCAUCUCAAAAAAAAAAAAAAAAAAAAAAAAAGAUGAAAAACUUCCCAUCCUCCAGGCUUUUGUAGCACAUCUGAUAUAUAGAUAGGCUGUUUGGAGGGGAAAAAAGCCAAUGUGGGCAGCACAGUGCUGGCAUUUCUGCCUUUGUGUGUUAUAGGUAAAUUCCUUUAGUGGAGGGUGAGGUUGAGGGGUGGUGAGGCAAUGCUUGAUCCCAGUGAAUGAUGGUGACAAUCAGCCCUGCACUGGCUUGUGCUUAGGUGCUAGGCCAGUACCAGGAGGCAUCACUGCGGGUGUGGGGGGAGCUCCUGCACCUUGAGAGAGGUGGGGCAGACUGGGGCUCUCUGAGGCAGCCACGGCUUAUGCAUAUUGCAGAGAAAGGACUGGGCAACUGAGGUUCCAAUUUUCUCACCUCACUCAUUGGCUUAGCAGGAAUUUUCUUUGUAGGGAGGUUAGUCUGUGAGGGAAUUUUAAAAGUUCUUUCAAGGAGAAGAGCCUCUUCCAUUUCCUGCAGAGUAAUGUUCAAACUGCAGGUCCAGAGGCCAUAAUGGGUGAGAUCAAUUUAGCGGGUUGAGACCAGCCUUUAAAAUAUAUAUAGAAUAGAAAAUAUUAGAUUGCGUAGUACGUAGUAAAGAUGAGUAUUAUUUCAUGAAACUUUGUUUCAGUUAUAUAUAUAGAGAGAGUGAUACAUAUAGAUAAGUGCACAUAUAUGCCUGUGUUGGGCUACUGCAUAACAUUGAUUUCCUACUAUGAAUCAGGGUCCAGAAAAUUUGAGAAACAUUGUCCUGGAAGGAUUUCUCUGCUCUUAGUGUAGACAGUGGGUUCCAGCCACUUCCCCAGAGGCCAUCUCUAUGGAGACAGAUGUGGUGAGAGGGCUCUUUUUAAAGAGCAGCCAGAGUCAGCUUCUGACAGCAUGAUCCUAGGCUUGUCUGCAGCUGUUCACCCAUGCCUGGUGUUUCCUGCUGCGGAGGAGCUAGGGAGAAAGAUCAGGAAAACCUCAGCCAGGUUUAGGAGCAAAGGUCACCUUCCCUGUCUUCUCACCAGGGUAUGAUUCCCUAGAAUGCAGCAGCAUAUCCAGCCCCUUCCCUCUUCUCUUGGUUCCUGGCUUUAUUAACUGUCUCUUCGCUUUAAAAAAAUUUUAUCUUUUAGCAGCAAAUUUCCUUCUUCCCCACAUACCAAAGCCAUAGCAGGAAGAGGAAGGCCAUCCCGACUGUGGUUUUGUCCUUAUAUUCUCUGUUUCUCAGGUUCGUUGCCUAGGGAGGGUGGAGUCCCGGCGAUCUGGGGGCAGGGUGGGGGUAGGAUUCGUGGUGCAUCAGAAUGAACUUCCUGUCACCUCAGUGAUUCCACUUAGAUCUGUGAUUCUCUGGCUCCAUCUUUCCCCCCGAAGAAGAAGAGCCUUUCUUGGGUCAUAGUUGCCUCUCCUUCCACCAGCUGCACUGACCGACCUGCAGAGUGUUGACCCACUUGUCGUACCUCAAAUAGAGGUUUAAAUUAGGACCUUUAAUCUGUAAGAGGCUUACAGCUUGUUGGGUGGCCAGCUGCUCUGGACUCCCUUGUGGGCAGAGCUGGGUUUUUCCUGGCUCUUUUGGGGUUUAGGGAAUCAUGGGGGUCAGUGGCUUUCUGGCAGGAGCCACAGGCUCUGGGACUAGGUGGGUGGGAUCUCUUAUGAUGGAGUUGGGUGGUGGUGUGUCCUUGUAAUGAUGGAAUGGGGAGCUGGGCCAGCAACUUGGGUGCUGGGCCUGCUUCUCUUGGACACUGAGCCUGGAUUCUUGCUGAUGUGCAGUUAGCUUUGCUGGCUCAACAUGUGUUUUCAUUUCACAGAUAUUCAUUAAUCCAGAGUUGUGUGCCCAGCAUGGUGCUAGGUGUCAUAGGGAACACACAGAAGCAUGAGAAUCAGGCCCUCCUCCCAAGUUGCUUAUUUGUAGCCUCCUUUUGAGGCUACAAGGCUAGUCCAUAUCAAAGCAUUCAUUCAUCCUGUAGACCGAUAGGUAUGGAGGGGAAGUAUUAUUGGAGAGACCUCAGGGUUUUCUCACCUGAGAAGGGAGAGAGCCCUGGGGUGGUCAGAGCUGGGCCCUGAGUGGUGGGAUUUAGAAAGAAGGGAAGAGGGGAGGGCUUGGAAGAUAGGAGAAACAGCAUGAACAGCAGCAGGGGGAAUGGGUGAGUGUCCUCCUGAAAGGACUGUGGAGAUGGCCGUGGAGCCUCUUCUUGCCCACUUCCUGAGAUGGUCAUGGCUUAGUGCUAGAGACUUUUAUUCCUUGGGCAAUGUAGACCCAGCUCUAUGGGUUCCCUGUUUUUUCCUUCUCUUCCUCCUCAUUAUAACAGAUAAUAAUAAUGAUUCCUAGCUUUCAGGGAACACAUCUUGUAUACCAUGUUCUGUGUGCUUUACAUGGAUUGUCUCAUUACAGCUUCACAACAACCUUAGAGAUAGAUGUUCUGUAUCAUUAUGUGCACCUUACAGUUGGUGCAGCUGAGGCGUAGAGAGGUUAAAUAACUUGCCCUUGGUGGGUGACAUAGCAAGGCAGUAGUUGGGUGAGGAGUCUACCAGGGCAGCCUGAAAGGCGGAACUCAGUGACAGCAGCAGGGCAUGCUGUUAACCCACUGCUUCCCACUCGUCUGAAUAUUAGAAUCACCUUGGAAUCUUUCAGAAUUUCCAAAUCCCAGGUCGAUUACAUCAGAGUCUCUUGGGGUGCUGGGACACAGGCAUCAGUUUUUGAGGCUUCCCAGGUGAUUCCAAUGUGCACCCAGGUUUAAGGACCACUCCCUUAACCUUCUCUGUUUUACAGCCUCUGAAUAUUUGACUGAAUACAUUUUUUAUCUCCAAGAUUCUCCAAAGCACUGCAGAGGGGCCUUCCUCCAGUCCUACCCUGAGGAUGUCUGUCUGUCCACCCACCAUGCCAUAUAGUAUCUGAGGGAGUAGGACCCCUGCCACCCCACAGCAUCUGUGACCCCCAAAGAGUGAAACCUAGGUGGUGUGGGGUGAUCUUCCUGGGAUCAGUGGCCCUUCUCACUCUGCAUGCCACCUAGAGGGCAGAGCCUGCUUCAGAGCCCUGGAGACCUCCAACUGGUUUCUCACAUCUUCUGCUCCCUGGGGCCCCUGACUUCAGCGGGGAAGGGAGAGGGUCACAUGAGGGCAGAUCUCUUCUGGACAAGUCCCAUUCCUCUCUGUCUGUCCCUGACUGAACCUGAAAUGGACACGAAGAGCAGAGUCGUUUGGGUGGCUGGGAACAGCACUAAAUUUAGCAAAACUGUAGCUGGUGGGGGGCCGGCCCAGAGUGAGCCAAACCCAGCCCUGAGUGGACUAGAUUUACAGUCAGUAACACAGUCAGCAUCAUCUCUGCUUGGGAAAGUGUGUGGUUACACAGGAUCUUCCGUUUUCCAAAGCCCAGAAGCUUGUCAGCCUGUCCCACAGGCCUCCCUGACUCUGUCCCUUGAAGACUUGGCUCCACCCCCACCACUGAUGCUGUCCCUUGGACUUAGUCUUCCAUCCAUCUGUCUGUCUCUCCCUUGUGUGUCUGGAAUUUCCACUUCAGUACCUUCACCUUCUUUUAUGCCUCUUAGCCAAUGCUGCCAACCUUGACUCCCAAGGCCCUGGAGGGCAAGACCCUAGCAUUGGUAGAUUUUCUUUAGGGCAUCUGGCACCAAGGACACCUUUCAGUCAAGGUGGACAAGUGGAGGAAAGCCAGGAGCUGGGAUGGUUAGUCGAACAAGUGUUGAGGGACUGAGAUGUACUUUCCCUCCUCCCAGAAACUUAGCCACGUAGAUGGUAUUUGUAUACCCAACAACUGAAGUGAAUUAUGAUGGGGACACAGUGGCUGUGAGACUCUUGGACAGUUGGGAGUUUCUCUUUGGUUGGCUGAGUCUCUGCCCUGGUGUCGAUGUAUCUUGGAAGAGGUGGGUUUUGUGGGAUUAAAGAGUGGAGGUCUGUGGGUGACAGGACAUCUUCCCCUGCUGGCUCCCUCUCCCACUCCUCAGAUCUGAUGGUGGUGACUUGUCUGGAGGAGCUUCUGUUUUCUUAAUGCCCUGGGAGAUAAUGACCAGGCUAAAUUUACUCAACUCUUUACAAAGUGGAUGAUUACACUGAGAGGCCAGGACUGGGAUCAUGCCUAUGGGAGUGAAGGCUUCAGGGCUCUGGCAGCCACUGGAAAUUUAAGCCUUGGAUUUUGCUGAUUGGGAACUGUGUCAUCUCCUUGGUCUUCUUGGUUUUCACUCCCUUCACCCAGGACUAGGAUCAAACAUGAUUUGUUAGUGUAGGGCAGUGGGUCUCAACCAGGGGCAAUUCUGUACUCCCUAGCUCUGGCUCCCAGGGGACAGUUGGCAAUGUCCAGAGACAUUUUUUGGUUGUCAUAACUGGGCUGCAGGAAGGGUGUUACUGGCAUCUGGUGUGUAGAAAACAGGUAUCCUGCUGAAUAUUAUACAAUGCACAGAACAACUGUCCCUACAACAGAGUUGUUGGUCCAAAAUAUCAAUCGUGCUGGGGUUGAGAAACCUUGGUAUAGGGGGACAGUUUUGCAGAAAUGGCCAUGAAAUGGCCAAUGUAGAAAUGAAAUGGUCGUUUCAUCCAGCUCUCUGCAUCUGUUGGAAAUAACUUGAAACCAGGAACUAUUGAGUCAUUGCCUUCUUCGUUCGUCCACUGCUCCCCUCUCUCCUCAGUAUUUAUGGGGAACCUUGGUAGUGAAAUACUUCGGCAUCUAACAAUAUUGCCUUCAGGAAGUUGUUUCCAAGCCAUCGCUAAAGCUCCUGUGGUCCAGUUUCCCAUAGAAUCCCCCUGUAAGCACACACGUAUCCCAGGUCAUGCGGGUGGCUUUGUGCAGCUGUGUCUCUGGUGCACCUAAAUAAGCCUAUGAUUUAGGUGUUGGUACCUUUAAGAUGAACUUUAAGGGCAACCAGGAAGCCAUUCCAAGGAGGCUUCAUGUGGGAAUGAUCAGAGUCUAGCCUGGAGCUGUUUUCCUUCUCUUUCUCUCUGUAGCUAAAGUUUGUUCUGCCUUGCAGAACUGAGUUCUGCUUGCUAAAGUUCUCUUAAACUCAGGAAACACAUACUCAUUGCCGUGGAGAACAUGAUGUUAUUUCCCAGGUGAAAGACUCAACCUGUGGCCAGAUGCCUGAACAGCCUGGUGCAUCUCUCAUCUGCCAGCACCGUUCUUCUGCAGUUGGCAGGGCUGCUUUAAGGCCAGAACAGGGAAAUGAGAAGUCUCCCAAAGUGAGGACCUUUGCUUGCUCUAGAUAGUGAAGGGAGGGUCACUGUGUGUGAAUUCUAGAAUGUGCUGACUUUUAAAAAUUCACGACAAGUUUCAAGGUUCUCUCCAUGUGACCCCACUACCUGGACUCUCUAAUCGUCAUGUCAGAGGGUGAAGGUGUGAGUGACACUUUAUGAUUUGGGGAAAGAAGAGGUGGUGGGAGUGGUGAGAGAGGAGAUUGGCAGGGAGAGGGAUAGAUAUUCUCAUUGGGUGCAUUUGACAUCCUUGCCUCCAGUUUGCGUCUCAGUGUUGUUCCCCUGGCCACAAAACUUAUUCAAAGUCCCUGUUUUUGAGGAGGCAAAUACAUACAUAUAUAUAUAUAUAUAUAUAUAUUUUUUUUUUUUUUUUGAUAAGCCCAAACCAGACAGUUUAGGAAGGUCAUUCUACUUAGGAGGAGAGUAAAUAACAUUUUACAAAUGACUUUGGAGUUGCCUGGGUUUUUUUCUUUUUAAAAGUCUCCCUUUGCUAGUGGAAGUCACUGGGGAAUGGAUGAUAUGGCAAGUGCUUGCUGUUCUUGGAGUUCGGGUUCACUACUCCCCUUCUCAUGCAAGGGACUGAGAUGGUACUGGUGGGCUCAGGAGCCAGGUUCUAGAUUACUGCUGUCUUAGCUGGCAACUAGGGCAGUCGAAACCAAAAGCCUCAGAAGUCCUGUUCAAUGAGGGUAAAUAUUUGAAUGGAUUGAACAGAUGAGUGUGUGUAUAUUUAGAAACUCACACCCAGUAGAGAAAGAACCUCUGGGUAAGCCCGGCUUGCUCAUCCCUGCUGCAGGUCAGAGCACACCCAAGGUUACAUCCUCUUAUUCCAUGAUCGGCUGAAGUCACUUCCUUAUGUACCCAAGGCUGCCCACGCCCAGCCACUGUUUCCUGAGCCGGGUCAGGAAGUGCAGAUCACUCCUCUCAUAACCUCCUGGUAGCUUAUAGUCAUCAUCCAGCAGCAUUCUGGAUUCUUUUGCCUGUGUCUGAGUCUCCACACUUCAGCUGCCAUCUUGCCCCCAGAUCCUGAGCUUGUCUUUGAGUCCGUAGCUUCAGCUUGGACUUCCUGGCUUCCAGGCCCAGAGUUACUUCAGGGCUCUGGCAGCCACUGGAAAUUUAAGCCUUGAAUUUUGCUGAUUGGGAAUUGUCUCGUCUCCUCCAUCUUCUUGGUUUUCACUCCCUUCACCCCUGGCCCAACCACUUCUGUCUCAUUAAAAAUCUUGUUUCUUAUAAAAGUUACUUUAUAUUUCAGCAUGCAUUUAUAAAACCCGAAGACAUUUUCAGACGGGGUCUCACAGAACAUAAAGCUUGACAAAUGAAUUUGGAGUUUUGAAAACAUGUUUAUUUUUUAUGGUAUUGAAGCUUUGUAGAGUAACAUUUCUGCCAUUUAUUAAAAUGCAAUAGGAAAAUGCUCAGAAAUAUGUGUGUCCUUCAGAUUUUGUGAGCAGAGAGUGUAGACACUAAAAUUCAUUGGUGUUGGGGAAACAACCCAUUGGAUAAAAGUCCAUUUUCUCCUAGAUUUUUUCUUGUUAGCGUUUUUUUUUUAUUAGUCGUAUUAAUUUUUUUUUUUAAGAGACAGGGUCUUGCCCUGCUGCCCAGCCUGGAGUGCUAUGAUGCCGUUAUGGAGUGCCACUGCAGCCUCCGACUCCUGGGCUCAAGUGAUCCUCUUUCUUCAGCCUCCUGAGUAGCUGGGACUACAGGCACACGCCAUUGCACCUGGGUAGUUUUUUUUUUUUUUUUUAAAUAGAGACGGGAUCUCUCUAUAUUGCCCAGGCUGGUCUUGAACUCCUGGCCUCAAGCAAUCCUCCCACCCCGACCUCCCAGAGCACUGGGAUUACAGGUGAGAGCCACUGCACCUGGCCCUUUUUUAAAAAAUUAAUAUUGUUAUUGACGUAUAACAUGCAUGCACAAAAGUGAAUGAAUCAUAAGUGUUCGGCACAAAGCGUACAUAUCCUGUCACCAGUGCCCAGAUCAGGAAAAGAAACAGAACACUACCAAACCAAACCCCGCAGAAAAUACUUUGCAUUUUUUUCUAGUUACAAACCACCCUUCCAAGGGUAACCACUAUUUUGAAUGCUACAAUCACAGAUUGGUUUCACCUGCUCUUCAACUUCAUAUAAAUGAAAUCACACAGUAUGUUCUCUUUUGGAGUCUGGUUUCUUUCACUCAUCAUUUUGCUUGUGGCAUUCAUCCAUGUUCUGUGCCAUUGUAGUUUUCCAUUCUCAUGACUGUGUAGUAUUCCAUAUUAAUAGACCACAGUUUAUUAUUUGUAUACCAUUGAUGGAUAUUUGGGCUGUGUGCAGAUUUUGGCUAUUACAAACAGUGCUACUGUAAAUAUGAAUGUCUUGGUGAAUGGAUAUAUACACAUAUACAUACCUGAAUGUAUGUAUACAUACAUAUACAUACCUGAAUGUAUGUAUACAUACAUAUACAUACCUGAAUGUAUGUAUACAUACAUAUACAUACCUGAAUGUAUGUAUACAUACAUAUACAUACCUGAAUGUAUGUAUACAUACAUAUACAUACUUGUGUAUAUACAUAUAUAUUUCUGCUGGGUAUAAACUUAGAAGUGGAGUUGCUGGAUCAUAGUUUUAAUAGUAGUGCCAAAGCAGUCGUACCAGUUAUACUCACACUAGCAAAGUAGGCAAGUUCUGGUUGCUCCAAAUUUUUGCUAAUAUUUGAUAUUAUCUUCCUUUUUCAUUGUACUUAUUCUGGUGGGUAUGUAGUAAUAUUGUACUGUAGUCUGAAUGUGCGUUUUGAGGAUAGUGGCCAUUUGUGUAUCCUCUUUGCAAAAUGCCUCUUCAGAUCAUUUGCUUAUUUUUCUAUUGGGUUGCCUGUCUUAAUGGUUUGUAGGAAGCACUUUAUAUAUUGUUGGAUAUACGUAUUAUGAAGAUUUUCACUCCUCGGUAGCUUUGGGUAUCCAUUUCCUUAGUGAUAUUCCUAAGUUUAACCCAUGUGAAAAUAUUAGAAUUGUAUAUAGUGCUUUGCACAGGAAUAUAUUAUUCUUUGUUAGCUAUGUUGAAGUUGGGGCUACAUGCUAUCACUACUCAUCUACAAAGGUACUCUUGGGAUACUGGUUAUGCAGGCUGGAGCAGGGACUCUUGAAGUUUCUGGCAUAUUAAGUGCUGGCAUCUUUGGGGUUAUAUAAAAAUAAAAACUGCUAAUAUCCAAGUGUUUACUGUGUGCCAUAUAGUGUUCUAAGCACUUCACAUGGCCUAGCUCAUUUAUUCCUCAUAUAAGCUUAUCAGUUAAGUGCUAUUAUUAUUCCCAUUUUCGAGUGAGGAAACUGAGACUCAGAGAAAUCUUAUAAUUGCCCAGGGUCACACAACUGAGAUUCCAGUUGCAGAGGCCAUACUCUUAACCAUUGUACCACAUAGAAAGUUGCAUUUCCCUAAACUGCUGUUUUAUUAUAGUGCUGGAUUAGUGGCUGGCACAUAGUAAUUGCACAUGGUAAAUACCUGUUACAUGAAAGAAUUUGACAGUGGUAAGUUAACAUAGGUCUUCAUUAAGUGGGAAAAUUUGCCCUGGCAAUGGGAUAUGUUGACAUUGGAAGCAGUUGUGUUUCAUCCUCAUGUAUCUCUUACCUGGAGCAGUGCCUGUCUUGGAAUAAGUGUCAUAGUGAACAUUUUGGAGUGAAUGAAUCAAUCACAGGCAGAUUGCGGACCCUGUCGUAGCAGAUGGAUGAGCUCAGAGGACACUACAGGAACCAGGGCCAAGGCAGGGCCAUGGUCGGGGCCAUGGUCAUGGCCCAGGGAGAAUUCACAGUUUGGCUAGCAGCAUCCUGGUUGUACAGCCACAAGGCAGCCCAGUUUGUAGUAGCAGAAUAGGGUCCAGUGUCAGCAGGCGAGGCUGUCCCAGUUACAGGCAGUCAGGUCAGAAGAGGUCCCAGCAGGAGUGCAGGGCUGGCAGGAUUCAAGGUCAGGUAAUCCAAAGUCACAAGGUUACAAGCAGUAAAAGUUCAGGCUGGCUGGCGAGAGAGCCAAGGAGCUCCUGGAGGGAGCUGUCGCCCGGGCUGGGCUCCCCUCCUGAAUGAGGCCUUUCUUCUCAGGCUGCUCAGAGUGCCUGAGAGGAAUACACCAGACCUCAGGGCAGGCUGGGGAGGGUGAACCGGAGACUUAUCCUGGUACGGAGCCAGAAGGAGCCUUCAUGAAUGUCUUGUCAAACUCUUCAUUUGGUGAGUGAGGAAAUCAAAGUUUAAAUGAGAGGUUAUUGAGCAAGUGGUAGAGCCAACGCUGGAAUCAGGCCCUGUAGAGUUUUUCCCACUUCCUCGUCUUUUCUAUCAAAAAUGAAGAGGUGAUGGGAAUUGUGGUUCUCGGAAGGAGGAAGCACUGAGGUGCAAGCCUUAGAGAGGAAUGAUGGAGAGCACUUGGAUAUGGGGCAAAAGGAGGAAUUCCAGGAGGACUGCACAGGCCUGGAGACUGGCGGUACAGGUGAUGGGAAUUUGAAGGAAACUGCUUGGAUGAUGACUGAGAUACUGACUCUAGAAUAUAAAUUCCAUGAUGACAAAAUCUUUUUCAUUUUAAUUGAAGCAUAACAUACAGAAAAGUGCAUAGAAGGCAAGGACUUAACAUUUUUUUAUUGUGCUAAAAAAACACAUAGCAUAAAAUUCAUCAUCUUACCCAUUUGUAAUUGUACAAUUCAGUUGUAUUAAGUUCCUUCGUGGUGUUGUGCAACCCUCACCACCAUCUGUCUCCAGGACUCUAUUCAUCUUACGUAACUGAACUCUGUGCCCAUUCAACUGCCUUUUCUUCUCCCCACAGCCCCUGGCAACCACCAUUCUAUUUUCUGUCUUUAUGAAUUUGGCUACUCUUAAAACUGCAUGUAAGUGGAAUUAUAUAGUAUUUGUCUUUUUGGGACUGGUUUAUUCCACUUAGCAUAAUGUCCUCAAGGUUCAUCUGUGUUGUAGCAUGUGUCAGAAUUUCCUCCCUCUCAAGGAUGAAUAGUAUUCCACUGUAUUUUGUUCAUCGCUUCAUCCAUUGAUGAACCCUUGGGGUGAGGACUUUUACAUGGCUUGCUCACCAGUGACUAGAACAGAUCCUGGCUUUAAAAGUAACUCAACAGGUAAUAGUUGAAUGAAUUUUAGUUAUGUUGAACGGGAGGUGAUAGUGGGACACCCAAGUGGGCUGUCCAACAGGUAUUCCUGGAUGUCUCAGGACUAAAGGUUGGAAUCGCCUUCAUGGGUAGGGGGUAAAGACAGUGGUGUGAAGGUGCUCCCAGGGACGGGGUUGAACAAUAGGAGCAGGGGCCUGGGGCUAGCACAGGUGGGACCAGAGUCAUGACAGAUGCAGGAAAGGUGGUCUCAGGACAGUGGUACAGGCCAGAACACGAGAUCAGGGGAAAUGUACCCAGUACAGCCAGAGCCAUUAAGUGCUAGGCAGUAGGCAAGGCACUAGGACUAGCAACACGUGUGAGGCAGACGUAAAGAUUCAUCAGCACAAAUCAUUCUAAGGCCUCGUGGAAGUGGAAGUCUUGAACUUGAGUGUGGACUUGAAAUACAGUUGGACUCUGCACUAUGAAGAGGAGAGAGAAGGACACCACAAGUGAGAAAGCGUUGAGAAAAGGAGCUUGGUGGAAAGAAUGGGAGGGUACAGGGCACAAAAGGAGACCAGAAUGAUGAGGCAGUGGACUUGCGGGGGACGUGGGAGGCAGGGUCGGCACUUCUUUUAUUUCUUUCCCUUUAAAGUUGAUCAAGAGUUGGCAGUUGGGAAGCUUAAGUAAUCUACAUCUAAACACUACAUCUAAUGUAACUCCUACUUAAAAUUACUGGACACCAAAAAAUCCCCAGGCAAGCUUAUUGCCCUGUAUGUAUGGUAGAAUAUUGUAACAUGGACAGUGGUAGUUGUAAAGACCUGGUUGCAUGUGACAGAUGCACUUGCUCAAAUAUGAGUGUGGCGAUUUCUCAGUCACAUGCUGAAAAAUCAAGAGCCUCUAGUCAAUUUAACCAGUAUUCACUGGGCUGCAGCUGAGAGCCCUGCUUAACACUAGAUGCUGGGAUAGAAAGACAAAAAGGUGAGAUUAAGAAGUAAGAGUUAAGCCUGGGCUGUACCUAGACUUACCUGAGUUUUAGAGACCUUCCUUUCCACAGAUAUUGGGCUGAAAACUGAGAAAGUGGAUGCCUCGUCUGCUCCCAUCUUACUCUCUGCAGCUUCCUACACAACUGCUGGGCUCCCAAUGCUCUGCUCUGGGGCCAGGCAAAAGUCUGUACUCUCAUGCAUACGCACUUCUGAAAAAGCGGCUUGGUAACUUCUUAGGUACACCCACAAGGUUGGCCCCAGAUCUCAAGGAAAUCCUCAGAAAUGGUUUUGAAAGAUAAUAUCCAGCUAACUCCCCCAAAUUCAGGAUCCCUAGAAGCUAUUUAUCUUCUAGGGAUUGCCUAGAGUAUUCCUACAGGAUGUAAAUGAAGGAUGCAAGCACGUGGAGCAUGAGUAUUCUAUACAGGGAACCAGUCGGAUGCCACCCACCAGUGCCAGAACGAAGGCAGAGAGCAUGGGGUUGGAGAGGCCAGAGACCCUACGUGCUUCUGAAUAAUGGGGUGUCCCUGCCAGAGCUAGGAAGCGUGAGGUGUCACCCUACCAGCCUACAGCUCUGAGUGCUAAAAGGGAAUCCGGGACCCUGAAGGAAGCUUUGAGUCUCUGGGCUUGUGCCUGUCAGAUCUCUGACACCACUAUUUACCUAUGUUCCACAAUAGGUUACCUUAGCAUUCAGCUUAGUCUGGUCUUAGCAUCUAAGAGACAAGGUUUCAGGGAGCCUUAUGUAUAAGCAAUAAUGUAGUGAUGAUGCUAACUUUAUUAAGUGUUUAGUGUGUCCUAGGUGCUGUUCUGUUUUCUAUGUAUUCACUCAUUUAAACCUCACAGUAACUCUGAGAUAACUGUUAUAUUUGACAGAUGAGGAAACUGAGUCACAGAGAGCUAUAAUAUCUUUCCUGAGAUCACUCAGCUAGUAAUAAGCAGAGACAGAAAUUGCACCGGUCCUGCUCCAGAGUCUGCAUUCUUAGGGAAACAGCUCCAGUGGGAUGUGUAGGAGCCACCAGAGGCCAGAGCAGAGAGGUCAGCUGCUGACCAAUCACACUCCUAGAUCCAGUUUCUCCCUGUCAGAGCCAGCUGCCCCUGCUGCUUCAGAGAGGGGGCUGUGGCCCUGUUGUUUUACCUAGGUUUGCCAGGAGGAUUAUUAGCCUCUUCCUCGUGUCAAAACAAGCCAAGCAGGAAAAAAAACCAACAAGCAACUCAUGACUUGCAGCAGAAAAAACCCUGCGGUCUCUCCAGCAGGAGGGGAGACCUCAGCUGCAGGGGCCCGAAGGUCCCAGGUUACAACCUGGUCUUAGGCAUAUAUUGCUGAGAAGGGCCUUGAGGUCCCCUCGUUUCAGUCAGGAUGCUGAGGCCUGGCUCACCAUAAUGCCCAGUCUCCACAGCAGCCUGCCUUCUCUGCUCUCCUGCUACACCCCGGGAAAUUUAAUAGUGUCUCCCAGUCUGCUCAUGGGAAGCCCGGAGGCCUACAGUCUUUCCCCUAGUUCUGCUGUGAGCUAGCUCUGGGACCCUGGGCUACUCCAGUUUCCCAUAUGUAGGAGAACAAGCUUGAAUUUGAGCAGUAGUUUCCAAAUAAAUAAAUAAAUAAAUAAAUAUAUAUAUAUAUAUAUAUAUAUUUUUUUUUUUUUAUUGCAGUGGAACACUUUCUUCAAGCAAGGUAUUAAGGAUAGGUACAGAAUGUGGAACAGUUAAAAGCAGAAGUGUAUAUUUUCCAAAAAAUGGAAAAAGGGGAAACAACCUUAGGGCAGUCAGACUUCUCUAUGAAUUCCUCCCAGAGCCUGCAGGGUUCUGCUGCAUAUGCACUCCUGCCCCUUGGGUUGCCUUUGCUCCUUCAUUCUCAUGGAAGGCUUUACAUUCUUCAGAGCCUCCCUCAGCUUCCAUCUCCUUCGUGGAGCAUCUGCCUGCAGUGACUUCUGCCCCUUUCUGUUCCUGUUAUACAUAUUUAUUAGCUAUUUCAAUCAUUGGGCUCCCCUAUACUGCCUAGUGAUGGGCUUAAAAAAUUUAUAACACAUAUAAUAUUUACAUAUAUUGUGUAUAAAUUAGCAUAUACUUAUAUAUUUACAUAUAUGUGUAUGUAUGUAUAUGUAUGUAUACGCCACACAUGCAUACACACACAUCCUUUAAAGAGAGACCAUGUCUGUAUGUCCCCCAUUUCCUGGUACAUAAUAAAUCCCUAAUAAAGAUUUUUUUAAAAAAAUUUUUAUUUGCUCACAUGCUCUUGCUCAGACAAUACAAGUUUUUAAUCAUGGGGAUUAUCUUCCUUGUCCUCCCACAUAUUUUGCCAGGUCAGUACUCAGUAAAUAGUAGUGUUAGGUGAUUGUACAAUAUGGUUUAUUUUGUUCCCAGGAAGUCCUGGAUUUGAAUUUUAGUUCUGCCAUAUACUAGCUUUAUGUCUAUAGGAAAUAUACUUAAUUCUUCUUAUUUAUAAGGUAGAAAUGAUAAUGCAUCUAUUCCACAGGUAUUUAUUGGGUGCCUGCUAUAUUCCAGGCACCAUUCUAGGUACUGGGAAUUCUGUAGUUUAUAAAACAGGCAGAAGUUCUUGUCCUCAUGGAGCUUAUAUUCCAGCCAGUUUUCAGGAAGAGCAGCACAGUGUUGCUGGAACAAGAGGAGGAGGAAUGAAUCCCUUCUGCUUGGUCAGUGGUGGAACUGCAGCCUGGCUGGAGGCUGCCCCUGGUGGCCUCUGUGGGGCCCAGGGACUCCCUGGGUAGUAUAGAAUUUCUACUGUGAGAUGAAGAGAAAAGGCCCUUGGGUCGGACUGAAGGGACAGUGAGCUCCUCUGAGCCAUAUUGCUGUGCCUGACCCUGAAGCUGUACAAUAUCCCGAUGCCCACAGUGGGAAGGGGGAACAGCACUAGGUGGAGAUGCCCCUGUCUAGAGACUGGGUCACAGUGCCCCGUGCCCUCUUGCGAUGUGAAUGUGCCAGCAUCCUGCUCCUGUUCCCCCGUGGUAUAGUGAAGACUUGCCUGGCACGGACAUAGAGGCAUCCUGGGCUGUCAGGGAUGCAUGGAAUCUUCUAGCCAUGCCGACACAGCCAUGCAGGGACAGAAAGAAGAAACCAUUCCAAACACCUCAGAGGUCCCUUCCUCAGCUUGCGCUAGAGGCAGGACGGUGGAGCUGCUGAGCCCUUAAUAAUAUAGAAUUAAGUCCUCCGACUACGUGGCCUGGGGGAAAGAUAGAUGUUGAGUGGAUCUGCUGUGAAUUUGAGUUUCCAUCCCCUCACACUGUGACACUUGGCUGUUGCUCAUGUACGUCUCCCCUUCUGCUUGUCUCUUUCUUAGAAGGAGAGAGGGCAGCCUUGGGUGAUGUUUUGUUGUUGUUGUUGUUGUUGUUGUUUGAGACAGAGUCUCGCUCUGUCACCCAGGCUGGAGUACAGUGGCAUGAUGUAGGCUCGCUGCAACCUCUGCCUCCCGGGUUCAAGCGAUUCUCCUGCCUCAGCCUCCCAAGUAGCUGGGAUUACAGGCGCCCGCCACCAUGCCCAGCUAAUUUUUGUAUUUUUAGUAGAGACAGGGUUUCACCAUGUUGGUCAGGCUGGUCUUGAACUCCUGACCUCAGGUCAUCCGCCCACCUUGGCCUCCCAGAGUUCUGGGAUUUACCUCCUGCUUUAAGUACAUCUUCCAUCUAGGAAGCGUUAGCUUCCAGGAUGGCCUCUUGGGGAAAUAGAGAGAAGGUGCCUUGGCCAUGGCCAUCCUGGAUUUGGCUUCAUCCAUGGCUGUGGCCACCUCUGACUGCCCUGCUGGACCGCAGCACCCACUCCCAGAGAUGCUCACUCUCCGUCGAAGCCUAUCACUUACUUAGGGUGAUUCUGAGUAAGUUUUACUUGACCUUUGCUAUGCUUCAGUUUCCUCAUCUAUAAAAUGGGGCUGAUAAUAAUCAUACUUACCUGAUAGGGUUAUUUAAAGAAUGAAAGUGAGCAUGUAAAAGGCUGAAAAGAGGGUCUUGCUGAUAGGAAGUGCUCUGUAUCUGCUGUUCCUGUUAUUACUUUCACAUUGGCUUGUUUGAGUUGCCCUAUGACCACAAGCUCAUUGUGGGCAGGAUAUAUUUUAAGUAUUUCUGUAGUCUCAGUGCCCAGCCCAGUGCCUAGUACAUGGUAGGUAUUUAGAAAAUAUGUGUUGAAAUAGCUGUGACCUCUGGAUUUAGACUGAGCUGAGAGGGAGGACUCACCAUAUGCAGAAGCCCAUAGAAAAGAGGCAUAUGGAAGGGGCAGUGAGGCAGGAUCAGAAGGUACAGGACGUGGGAGGAUAGUGAAUCCUGAGGUUGAAGGGGUAGAUUGGAACCACAUGCCACAGGAUGCUGAGGCUAGGUGCUGGGGAGCCAUGAGCAGCUUUAGAGCAGGGGAGGCAUAUGAUGGUUCAGAAUUUCAGAGAAGAUACUGAUGGCAAUAUCUAGACAGGAUUGGAGAAGAGAGCCUGAAGCUAGCAGAGUGGCCAGUUGGGAGCCUGUUGGGAACACACAGCUGGGAGUCACAAGCUGCGUGGGCAGCAGCGUCCUAUCUGCUGUUCUCCCCCUCCCUCCUCAGCUCAGCGCCACAAGGAACCAGGCCAGCACGUUGUGACCUUCCCCCGUCCAGCCCUGACUGUUCCCAGCCCUGGUGCUUGUCUAUUUGCAUCCUACUCAUUCUGACACACCUUUCGUAGGUUGCCAGGUUACCGCAGCCCUGUGCUUUGUAAAUCCUUGUGCCUUAGCUUCUACACCACUUAAUUCCCCCCUCACUCUCCGCCCUCUGUAUGUGUGUGUGUUUAUUAUUUUUAUCUCGAAGUGGGAAUCAGGGAGGCUCCUGGAAGUAGGCCAUGCCCUUUUAUGUGGUCUUCUCACCAAGGACAUGCAUGUUCCCAAGCCCCGGGAGCAGAGACCCAGAGCCCUGGGAAGGAGUGGUGGUUGAUGCAGGAUGUGGAGAAAACACAGACCCCUGCCCUUGGGAGCCACAGCUGUGCUCAGGCUGGCACAGGGCACGGGCUGGCGGCCAUUUUAUUCGUGUCUAGAGACUGCAGCUCCGAGCCUUCUUCUGUCUUUCUUUUGAGUCCUGGAAUGUGUUCCUCAGGGGUGGACACUGCUUCCUUCUAGUUGCUGUGGUUGGGAGCUUGGCUUUGUCCUGUUAUUCUUGCCUACAGCUGUUUGUGAGGUACAGUGGCUGGGAUAUCAGGAAGUUGCUCCUAGUCAACCUGUAUUAAGUACCUACUACAUACAGUUUUGUAUCUCAUGUCCACUAUAAUAGGCACACAGAGAGUUAAGGAGAUGUUAUAGUCGCUGCCUGGACAGUGGAGAGUAAUAAAAAUCACGGCCAUUUAUUGGGUGUUUACUAUGUGUUGGGCAUCAUGCUAAGUACUUUGCAUACAUUAUCUUAUUUAAUCCCCACAGUAACCAUGUGUCACGCUUGUUAGUAGCACUGCUUUAGUGAUACAAGAUGAUGUUAAUUAACUUGCCUCAGGUCACACAGCCAGUGUGAGUCUUUGUGACUCCCACGCUCCCACUCUGAAUGCCAAUGCUGUGUUUUCUCUCAAUGGCUAGGUACCCAAAAGUCAGGAUUUAGCCUUUGGGAGUCCUGGGUUCAAUUUGUUGCUCUGCUGCUUAUUGGCUAAGUGAUCCUGGAUGAGUCUCCUAGCUUUCCUCAUGUUCUCCUCCGUAAAAUGGGAAUAAUUGCAUGUACUUCACUAGGCUUUGAUGGGGAAUGAAGUUAAUUUGUUACAAAAGCACUUUGUAAACUGGAAGGGGUUAACCAUACAUUUCACCUCAUUUCAAUGAGUCAGUAGUAAAAACUUGUUUAAAAAAUACUUAUGUACAAAAAAGUCACGUGUAUUGGGCCUUUUUUUUUUUCCCUAAGGAAACCUGGUUAGCCCCACCUUUUAUGCCAGAGAUGGUCAAGUAUGACAAUAGAGAGUAGUUCAUCUGCCAAGGACAGGCAUUAGGAGGAGGUCUCAUCAGAGGAGAAGGGAUGUCAUCCACAUGUACAGCACAGCGGUUAAGAGACAGGGCUCUGAGUCUAGUUACCAGCUGUGCCUCCUCGUAUAGGCUCCCCAGUUCCUAUCCGUGGAGUAGAGGUGAUAACAGUGCCAGCUUCGUCCCGCUGUCGUGGAAUGCUGAAUGAGCUUUGAGGCAGCACGGGGCCAACCACCAGGCCUGACAACGUGGCAGGUUUGUGGAAUGUGGAAGUUGAUGUUCGUGAUGAGGAGGAUGCUGCUUGGGCAGAUAAAAGGCAAGGGGCAUGCUAAUUGGGGGCCUUGGCCUUAUUUGAAGGAUCUCCCAGAGGGGGACAAGGAGAACAUAGAGGUCUGGUGGGACUGAGGGCAGCCUUGGGAGGAAGCCAGAGCCCUGUAAACGGGCUCUCAGCCAGAUGGAGAAUCUAGUUCUAUUCCUCAUCUCCCAAAGUGGGGGUCGGUGGUGGUCAGGGCCGUGGGGCCCAACAAGGGCUGCAGGGAGGUAGCCUCUGUCCCUGGUCCUUCUGCAGGCCCCAGGGAGAUGGCUGAGUCCUGGAGGUCAGCUGGCCAGCUUCCAUUCUGUGCCUGAGCAGGUUACCAAUCACCGGGAGGAGGGACGCAUUCCACGGUGAAGCUCAGCUUUAUCAUCUUGGCCAAGGAGCAAAGUUUACUCAGAAAGAGUUCCUGCCAUUUUUUAACUUGUUACUUGGUUCUGCAUAUGAGAGAGAAAAAGGAGAUGGGGGAGCCAAGUGUUGGGAUGGGUGUGGGAAGGAGGUUAAAUGUUGAGAUUGGCUUGCUGGGACACAUUUCUUAUACAAAGGUGAUACAUGACGACUCUGGGGAUAGCCUACAGGUAGGCAGGAAGUGGCCAGUCAGUUGUAUCUCAGCAUUGUAUGAUUCCAAAAAUGAGGGGUAAACUUGGUAUUUCGAAUGUUUAGAAGUAGGCCUCACGGAAGUUGUGCUGUGUUUCCUUCCUGUGUUCAUCGGCCUGUUUGCCCAGUGGAUGGUUACUGGACAUGGAUGUGCACCAUGUGGUGGCUUAAAGGGCUGUAAGACGCAGUCCAGGCCCACGAGAAGCUUCCUAGCAGUGAGGCUGUUUUAUAACUGUUCCCAAAUCAUGUUAGCUCUGGAAGCUAUUUCAGGAACGCCUUUGGUUAUGAACCGUAUCUUAUAUUUAAUUUUGAUUCUCUUUUCCCUCCUGUCCUGGAUUCAGUAGCAGCAUCCACACUGUGUGCCUGGCUGUGUCGUAGGUGUUGGAAGUACUUAGAAGAAUUAGGAGGUACUUGGUAAAAGCUUGUUAAUUAACUAAAGUGGGGACCUAGAACCAUCUCCAAAGAACUUUUGGUCUUCUCUUGUGCAGUCAAGACUCUUCAUGUCUCAAAAGGACCCUGAGCUUCUGUCUGGAGCGCAUCAGAAUCUGUGAAAUGCCUGGAUCUAGGCCAUAAAGUAGAGGGUUUGUCCCCCUCUUUUCCUUGGUUGCUGUAUGUUCUUAAUAACAGUAAGAGUUUUAGCCCACCGCAGGAGGCACUUGAAGGCAUGCAAAGCUCCACCUCUCCACCUACCUCCUAGGGCCCUGGGUGGCACUCCUCUGCUCCUUUCCUUUCUUCUUCUGUUACCGUAUCAGGUAAGGCCACUUUCUACUCUUAGUUGAAAUUUACAGUUGGUAGCCAUGGGGAACCAUUAGAGUCUCUGGUCUUUGAUUCCCUGGGAGAGGGUGGGUCUGACAGUGGCCUUCCCACCUGUGUGAUGAGGACAGCUGAUUUCUGUCUCCUUUGUUCUCAGCCUCACAUGGGGUCACAGGGAAAAGGAAAACACAUAAAAGAUCCCCAGGGCUCAGAUUUGGGGUUGCACUGUUUUUAGUCCAGAGCCAGCUGUCCUUGGCAUCCGUCAGGCAGAGGGGUGAGGUGAUUGCUGGUGUUUGUGACACUACAGGUUGAGUGUCCCUUUGAUAUUUGCUUGGGGACCCUUUCCAGAAGCUGCAGUUAGAAGAGCACAUUCUUGUUUGAUACAUUUAGAUCAAAGGAAGGAGAGAGUAGGAGAAACCUCAGAGGACCUGUGUGGGUGGGCAGGGAAGGGAUUCACAUCAAGUGAGCCCAUUUCCAGUGUGUUUGUUGGGGAUUUAGGGGUUGUCAUGUUGACAGGCCUAAUCUAGUCCAAUCAGGCAAUCAGCAAGUAUUGAUUGAGUGCUGCUAGAAGUAUCGCUUUGGCAAGAAUGAAAAAAGAAUUUUGAAGCUUGCCUGGACCCUUUCUUUGAAAAGUUCAGACUCUAAUUGGAGGCUACAGAUGAGCCACGUGUGACAUGAGACAUGACAGCCUAUUAUCUUGGCUCUAAAUUGUAACAAGGGGUUAAACUGUUGGCAUCUGGAGAAGGAAGAACAAUCAUGGCAAACGUGGGGCCUGCAGGAUUGCUGUCUAUCUCAUCUGGGAAAGAGUGAAGGAUACAGGUAGACAUAUUGCUUAGUCUAGUAGAGUCCAUGGGUCUCAGACUCUUGUCCAACAUCAAGAGUAUCAAAGCACCUUCUCCUUGCUGGAGUUUGGCCACGUGGAAAGAAUCUAUCCAGCUAACUCUCGAAAAAGGAGCAGGUGAGCAUUGGGAUUGAUUCCCAGCUAAGGGAAAUUGAGCAGAUUAAUGGAGAUAAUAUAUGUGAAAUGGCUUAGUGUGUGUCAUACAGAAAUAAUUCAACAAAGGCUUAUUGGCAGAUUCCUAAGCUCAAGACUGAGAGGGUCUGAAGAAGGCACAUAGCAAGGUUUUAAUUAUUGUGUGUAUGGGAGGGCUGGGUUGGGAGUUGAGGGGCAGGGGAAGAUUAAGCAAGACAGGGAGUGAGGACUCCUAAGGGAGGAAGAAGGUUCUCUGGGAGAUCAGAGCCGGCUGCCCUUUGGCCUUCUCAGGCCACUUUUGGAGGGCCGCUCCAGUUCCUGAUCUCAAUUAGGAGGGAAAAUGUCAAACUACUAGUUGAAGUACAGAGCAGAGCUGCUGGCACGUGAAGAGUGGUUAAAAACAUGAGACUGCGUGGCCCAGAGAGGUAGAGAUUUUGGUGAGAGGGGGUUUGCUAGGUACAGUAUUGUGUGCUUAAAGCACUGUCAGGUGAUGUGGGUGUCAGAGUUACCCUGUGGUACCUCAGGGGGCAGCCCUGGGGCCAGUGGGUAGCUGUGACAGGGAGGCAGACGUUGGUGUUGGGAGCUGGAUUCCUGUCUUGCUUUAUGGGCUGUGAAGGAUGUGAGGGAGAGAAGAUGGGUGACCCUGUCAGGUCUCCAGCUCCUUCCGUGGGCCCUGUAGUGUUUACACAUGAGCGAAUGUCCACCAUGCAGGGGUGCUAAUAAUGAAAACAGUAGCCAUAACUUUCCUUACUGAAUACUUGUUGGGUACCAGGCACUGUUGCUGAGUGCUUUACUCAAAUAGACUCUAAUCUUCACAGCAACACUGUGAAGAGGUAUGAUGAGCUUAUCAGCCCUACUUUAUAGAUGAGAGAAUUUAGGCAAGACAUGGAAUAACUCACCCAAGAUCCCACACCUUGGACUCUAACCCAAGGCGGAAUCUUCUUGUCUCAGUGGAAGGUGAGGCCAGAUGACAUUCAGGGUGUCUUACACCCCCAGGGUUCUAAGGCCCUGUCUUGUGGCUCAUCCUGGGCUAUUUGGAUGGGGUUGAGAGGGUCAUUGGGUUUGGGGCAGGAACAGUGGUUACGACUCUCGGGAUGACCUGACUGUGGAUGCUGGUGCUGCCCUCGAGGUCAGUGAUAGGGCUCCGUGAACAGGGUUCUCCCGCUGGCUGUUAGGAAAGGGCCUCUCUAGGGAAGUGGGCUGGGACAUCCCAGCUUAUCUCAGCAUCUCAGUUCCUCCUGUCUUCCUUCCUCUACCCUUAUGGUGAUUUAGGGCUCUCAGAAGCUCCAGUGGUAAUUUUUUCAUGUCAGCCUACCCAGAAACUUAUAUAUAUAUUUUUUGAGACAGAGUCUCGCUCUGUUACCCAGGCUGGAGUACAAUGGCACAAUCUUGGCUCACUGCAACCUCCACCUCCCAGGCUCAAGCGAUUCUCAUGACUCAACCUCCCAAGUAGCUGGGAUUACAGGCAUGUGCCACCAUGCUCAGAUAACUUUUGUAAUUUUAGUAGAGAUGGGGUUUCACCAUGUCAGCCAGGCUGGUCUUAAACUCCUGGCCUCAAGUGAUUUGCCCGCCUUGGCUUCUUUUGGCCUCCCAAAGUGCUGGAAUUACAGGCGUGAGCCACCGCACCUGGCCCCAGAAACUUCUUGAUUGUGUCAUGAGCGCACUCAGCCUGUAGAUCUCUCCUCAACCCCCACUAAGCUCUGCCUCCCAAGAAAGGCAUAGAGCAAGUGAUGUCCAAGUGCCUGGGCCUCCAGGGCCGGCAAGACUUGAGCUGUCUUGUUUGGGGGGCCAGGGUGGGAUUAAGGAGCCAGCUGUCCUCCUAGCAUCUUGCUUUCUUAGUUUACCAGCCUCUGCUGACCGAGGGAGUUCCUGCCAGCCAAGGGUGGAGCUCCUUAAAAAGUGCCUCGCGCUGUACCUGACACAUGGGCCCCAAACACAUUAUUUUUUUGGAAUAGAUCAAUGGCCGUUCUUUCUGUUGGACCCGCCUGCUUUCUAAAUAUUCACCCUGGCCUCUGAAGGUUUUGAAGUUUUCAGAGGGAGAGUGAUGGGGUACUCCUCUCACCUCCAAAGUAUGUGGCGUUGGAGAAAUCUUCUAAGUGUAAUCUUCUGUCUUUUAAGGCAGAGCUGUUGUUGCUGUGCUGCUUUUGGAGAAAGAACAUUGGCCUCGGAGGCCUAUGUCAAAUCCUAGCCUGAGAAUAAUGGCUGUCCAGUGGUCCCAGGGGGUUUCAGAGAGCUGAACCCUCUAAAAGAGUGUAAUUCCAACACCUACCUUCAGUAAAUAAAUCAACCACAGGACUGCCUCCCACCCCCAAAGAUUCUGGUCAACAUCCCCUCCCAGUGCAGAGGAAGUAUUCACAUCAUCAAAGGUUUUGUGGAACUUUACUUUUGGUAUGGUUUCACAUUAUGAAAACGUAUCCCAAAUAUUAACUGUUAUGUUUUAGACAGUCCCCAGCUCCUCUCCCACCCCUGAAUGAGAGUCUCGGCCCUGGAAGUUUUGUCCCUGCUCCUGGCAAAGCUGGCACUUUGCUGAAAGCUCGGACCUGCACCCAGGCCAUGCAUAAUGGCCCUGGUCUCUUUUCUCCUCUGUCCUAGGCUGCAGGUACGGACGUGCCCCUGCUUGGGGGAUAAGGCAGUAUGGAAAUGAAAGUUCAAGUCAGAAGUGUUUGGGGAAUCCCCUGCCCCACUUGUGUUUAUGAUUCCUGCUGUCUAGAUCUGACUCAGUUAAGUAGAGCAGAAGUUUGUUGUGAGGCAGGAAAGCGACUCCAUUUUUAAGUCACAUGGUGCUAAACCCAUGUGGUCACACAGAGGUCAGCACAGACCCAUAAAUCAUCAGAGGCCUAGGUUCUUCCUACCCUAGAGACAUCUCCUCCUGCCCACAAGAGCAGCAGCAGCGUCUGAGGGCACCAACCUGUGCCUGGAGGGAGUCUGGCCAAGACCCCUCAAUCCCGGCCAUGUCUGGCCUGGCACAGGCUACAGGUUCCGCUGUUGAGGAAUGGAGUAAUGUUCUCCUCAAGUCCCUCUCACAUGGCCCAACCACACUCUGUCUCUCUGGAAAUUAUUUCCAUCCAUUGGCAGGGCCAAGAUUUUGAGCAGCCAGCCAAGAGGCACAUUGGGUUACUCCCUCAGUCCCAAGAAGACUUUGUCCUCCUGUAUUUUAGGCAGCAGGAGCUGUGACCAGUGGUUAGCAGAGUGGCCACAUUCACUCAGCCCCAGCCCAUAGUCAGGAUAGCAGGUGCCAGUGCUAUUGCCAGUCUGGGUUUUGCUUAUGGCUGAGUUGUGAGCCCUCUGGGGUGGGAGCUUAGAUUUAAUGAUUAGCGGCCUAAGACAAGAUAGAUGUUUUGGCCUGUUUCACUUUCCCAAGAGGUGAUGGGAGCCAGCUUGGGCAGGACAUUUUGGAGCCUGGAUUUCUGGCCUGAGAGACAGACUGACUGUGUCUGUCCAGGAAAAAGCAUCUACUUACAAACAGAGCAUCCUAGUCACAAUAUCUGCUGUUGCAGGCCUGACCUUCCCCCAUGCAAACAUGCCCCUCUCUGUGCAGCCCUUGGGCGUAUUUCACACGGGAGUCCCUGUUGGUGCUGGGGUUCACUUCCAUUUGUGCUGUGAAUUCAGCACUCAACUUGGCCUUUGCUUGUCUUCCUUUACCCUGAGGGUCGGGGAGCCCUGUGUUCUUGGCCAGCGUCUGCCAGGUCACUCACUCUCUGCCGCCUGGCUCCGGCUCCCUGUCUGUGGCGGCAUUCUGAGUGUGUGUCUGCAUUUCACCUCUGCCAGAACCUACCCUCCAGCACAGGCUGUCCCCAGCCCUUGCCUCUCGGAUUUUCACUUGGCACCUGGCACUGCAUUGUGUCCUUGGAGUGUUCGUUGUCACUGCUGGGCCUUGUUUCGCUUCAGCUCAGUGACAUGGGUGGAAGUGUCAUGGUCUCUUGGGUUGGGGGAAAGCUCCUCAGUGGCUCUGGGGUAGUUCCUCCAGGAGACUGGCACAGUGUGGUCUUCAUGGCUGAGGUCUGACCACACCAUGAUCACUGCUGUUGGUCUGCAACUAUUAAUGGCACUGCUCCUUAGGAGCCUUUUCCCCAUGAAUGCCAUCAGACUUCUACUCUAUGAGUACCAUUUCUGUCCCCACCCCAACAUCGAGCACAUUCUCAUACUUUUUGUGAUUAUAUAUACUUAGAUUUCUGUAUUUUUGUUUCUUCUUGAAGUUGCUUGAUGUUAGAAAUUCAUCUCUUCCUUACCAGGUGUUGAACUAUCCCAGUAAUUUAGCUUUUACUUGGCUUCUGCAACCUUUUUUUCUCUAAGCUCCUUAUCUGUCUUGGGCCUACCACUUGAACACACUUGAUCUUGUCUACUUAUCUCGUCAAUAUGAAGCUAGGUAUGGUUGUGUCUGGUUAGUACUUGGAUGGAAGAUCUGAGAAUGCUAGGUAUUCUAAGUCUUUUGAGGUGUUGGUAGGCUUUUUCUUAUACCAAAUGCAAAAUCUUUAUGUCACCAUUGUUGUCAUUCUCAUCAUCAUAGUGAUAGCUGGGAUUAAUUGAGCACUUAUUCUGUGUUGGGCCUUGUGCUGCAUUACUUCUGUAUCUCACAUCCUCUCCAAGAAAAUCCCAAUGAAGUAUAGAUGAAGCUGAAACUAGAAACUUAGAAAGGUUAAGUAAGUUGUUCAAGUUUAUAUAAUUAGUCAAGAGGCUGCACUAGAAUUCAGAUUCAAAUCUAUCUCAUUUUAGAGUUAGAGUUUUUAACCACUAAAUGUAAUAUUUUUGUUUGGUAGUUAAGUACUCUAUAAAUGUUGGUUGAAUGGCAAGAUUGCUCUGACAGUCCAGCUGUUCUCCAUGGUGUCACUAAUGAUGAUGAUAGCACACAGCAUUUUUUGAAUGAAUGCUUGCAGUGGUAAGCUCUGUACUAAAAGAUAUGCAUUAGUUAACCCAUUUAAUCUUAUAGCUCAAUGAGGAAGAUUACCCCCAUUUUGCUGAUUAGGAAACUGAGGCCAGAAAGGCCAAGGUAACUUGCCCAAGGUGACACAGCUAAAUAGUAUUAGGGGAUUUGGAUGCAAGCUGUCUCCUAAACUGUGUGAGUCUGUACUCUUAAUCACUAUGUUGCUCUCCACAAAAAAAUAAGGCUGAUUUUUAUUUUUCUGUGCUUUUCUUCUUGCUGUCCCCUUCCUUAGCUAGUGAUGCUAUUUCUUUACCAGUUCUUGCUCAUCCUAUUCAUUCUCAGAAGCCCAGGCUGGAGUUCUCUUCUCAGACUAUGCAUGUCCACAUCAAGCUGGCUUCUCACAAUUGGCCCCUCAGUGUAUUUUCCUAAACCUUACUUGUAAACAUGUUAAAAUGACCAGAUUUACAAUUAGUGAUCUACACCGUAAUAGCAGACCUAUUUGUUUGUCUUAUUUCUACCAAAGAAAUGGAACAGGGAGCUCAGAAACAGACCUAUAUGUAUCUGGACACCUGAUUUAUGAUGAAGAAGGCACUGCUGGGCAGUGGGGAAUGGAUGGUUAUUUUAAUAAACAGUGCUGGUUCAACUGGAUAUCCACAGGAAAGAAAUGAAUCUUGAUCAUAUACAAAAAUAAAUUCCAAAGCGAUCAUCAAUCUAAAUGUGAAAAUUAAAACAAAACUUCAUCUACAAGAUAGCAUAGAAUAUCUUUAUAACUUUGGGGUAGCCAUACAUUUCUUAAAGAAGACACAGAAAGCACUAACUCUAAGGGAGAAGACUGAUAAGUUGGAUGUCAUUAAAAUGAGGAGCUUCUGAUUAUCAAAUGACAUCAAUAAAAGAGAGUGAAGCCAAGCAGAGAGGAGAAGAUAUACUCAGUACCUAUACCUGGCAAGUGGAUUCAUAUCCAGAAUAUAUAAAUAACUCCAACAAAUCCAUCAGUAAAAGAAACCCUUCCCCCUGGACAGAAAAAAGUUCCAUACUGAACAAUUGUGAGUUGUAUGCAGUUUUCUUCUCCCAGUGCAAGGUUCUAACCAGUAUGUCCUGGAUCACUGGCACAGCCUGGUGGCUGGCCUUGGGAACUGUCUGAUCUGGUGGCUCUUGGCAUUUUCUUUUGUGUAUGGACUGUGGGCCCUUCCUUUCCCAUGUGCUUCUUCACUUGCUAUUGGUUUGGCCACAAGAGGCUCCUGUCUCAUGAAUGCCUGUGUCUCUUCCUCUUUUCCUUUGGCUUGUUAACUUUUGAUCAGUUAUUUCGAGAAUAUUUCUCUCUGGCUUCUUCCCCCCGCCCUUCCUUUUUAAUUUCCCUUUUUGUACCUUCUUGUUUAGCCUAAAAACUUCUGGUUGUAAAAACCAUCCUAAAGUGUCUCCAAGUCUUUGGGGGAGUAGGCUUGUUCUCUGGGGCUCCAGAGGCAGAGUGGAGACCUGAAGGCUAAUAUUUCCCUGCAGAGAGAUUUCAUCUCAGUUGUGUUCCACUUGUCUGAACCCUCCAAAGGUGUGGUGGGAGUUAUUGAAUCAAGUUGGGGCUAGACCAUGACUUGGUCACGGUGGUGUUUGUGGAGGGUACUGUGUCUUGAAUGGGCAGCUGGAUUAUGAUAAGCCCUUCCAAUCUUAUCACCAAAGCCCUGGAUGGACGUUUUGUGGAUGUCCAGAGAAGCGCUCUCAACUGGGAGACAGAGCCAGUAUAUCAGCAUGACUUUUCUGCCUAGCUGGCAGGUCAGGAUGCACACAUAUUAUUACUACUUCAGUUAAAUCACGUAUACUUGGAAGUCAUUUCGAUACACCUCUCCACCUGCAGCCCUCAGGGAAGUUUUAAAUUUUCCUCAUUUUCCUCUAUGCUUAUUAUUUUCCUCAAAUGGCAGAUGUGUGAGGUAAAGUUUUCCUCUUUGGGUAUGUUCUUUAUUUUAUUUAAUUCCUCACUCUGGCAAUGCUUGCUCUUUUUUUUUUUUUUUUUUAUUACAAACGUAUUGUAUUUUAGACACAUUACAACCAGGAGAACAAACUGGAAGCUCUAUAGGUAUGUUCUGACCAUUAAAAUAUCUGGACAGUGUUAAAAAAAAAAUCAGGAGUUUAACAUAAAGCUAGUUUUCCGCCUUGCCCUGAAAACCUGGAUGAUCUGGACUCUUUGGGUCUCUGUUCCCAGAUGGUCCCCAGCAGGCAGAGCCAGGAGGGUGGCCCAUCAGGAGUGGCACGGUCCUUCCACUGGGCACAUCCCCUCCCCAGGCCACUGUACUCCUUCAUUACCUGCAUGGCCCCUGAAGACACUGGAGUUGAUGACUUCCUGGAGUGGAUAAAAUGGGCUUUUGUGAGCUAGCCUGGGAACCAAGCAGUAUGUUUGAUAUUAUUUCAUUGCAAAAGUGGAUCUCAGCUUUUAAAGUAAGCAGAUGUUUUAAAUAUCAGCAAUGCAAAUUUGGGAAUACUUAGCCUCAGCUGGAAUGUGUGUGUUCUCCAUGAUGGACUGUUUCUGAUGCUUUUCCUGUGCUGUAUCUUGGCUUAGCACUUAGUAGGUACUUAAUAAAUGAUUUACCUCAGGUGGUAACCAAGCGCCUGUUGUCCACCAGCUCCCAGGGAGUGAACAGAAAUGCCAUCUUGCUGUGGACUGGGCCUGUCAGUUCCACCUGAGACCAGAUCGCUGCCAGAUUUAUCUAGAACAUCCACUCUAGCUCUAGAUAACAGAGAUUGGAAUGUGUCCUCUGCACAGCUUCCCUGUCUGGAGAGCGAGGUAAAGACCUAGACCCCGUCGAGUUGGCCCUAAAGAGGAAACAGGACAGGGAGGCCGGCAUGAAGCCGGCAUGAAGACUGCUUUUCUGGCUGUUGCCUGCCGAACUGGAGUUUGUGGCCGGUACACAGUGCUUGCAUUCCACACCCUGAACAAGGGCGGGUCAAAGUUCAGCUCAUUCCCCUUUAAAGAAAAAAAUUCUUUGUCUUUGGCAUUUCGAAGUUUUGACCCAGAUCAGUCGGAGGCCACGGAAUGCUCAUGAAGUCUGGAGAGUUUGUUUAGUUCCUGAGUCCGGUAGCUGCCGAGGAGCCAAAGAGAGCCGGCAACCUGUUGGGCUUGAGCUGAAGCCUUGCCUUUUCAAGUUUGUGCUGGCCUGGCCUCCCCAAGCCUCUGAGGGUGAGUAGAAGGAGCCAGCACCUUUUCCCCACUCUGAAGUUAUCUUUACCCCCUGAAAUCAAACACUGCAUGCAGCACCCUGUAAAACUGCUUCCUUGUAGGCUCGAGCGUGCUUGCUAAGUAAACAUCCUCCCAUGUUUUUGGAACUGAAUUCAUUUCUGCUUCCUGGUCAUCCCAUUCGGGUUUUUUUGUUCUUGGUGCCUUGUAGAAUCAGGUUAAUAGAAGGAAGACCUAGAAUUGGGCAGAGGUACCUAAAAUGACUGUUUUAAUCCUGCCUCCUCCAGCCUCCUCAUAUAACUGGCUGUUUUCCACCGCACUCAAGGUUCCCUCUUUCGGCUUAAAGCCCCCCUCUGUCUCUGUACAGGAAAAGCCUCUUCCUUCUUUCUUGCCUAUUAAAUUCUCCACUCUUUAAAACCACUCCAUGUAUGUCUGUGUCAUUUUAUUCAAACCGGAGCAAAACCGAAAACCCUAGUGUUCUUCCAGUCAUCAAAGCCGUACCAACGGGGUCAUGGGAAGGAAAAGAUUUAGAGGGAAAAUGAAAGGAAACAAAGCCUUGCUGAACGUAGUGUUGUCAUAGGUUUUUGCGAGUCAUAGUUGGUUCAUGCCGCACCCCUGAGAUGGGGACUUAUCUUUGCAGGGACUCAGCUUAGUUUUGCUGCGGUCAUAGACUACAGUCGGCCUCUGUACAAAUUCUGUGGCUUUGUAGGUUCCUCCUGUGACCCUGCCUCGCUUUCGCUUCGUCUCUCAUGACUUAUUUGCCUCUUCUCUCACUUCCACCCACCCGUAACAUCCCCAUCGCCAUGGCAGUGAGCAGCCACGUCACUCACCAAGUUCAUGGGGUGAUGGGCCAGCUCUGUACCAAGCCUACUUCCCUCUAGUUCUGCCUCCUGAAGGAGGAGGCUCCCUGGCAGAGCUCAGAGCCCUUUGUUUAUUUGAUCCUGGGCUCUUGGAUAAAUCAGGAAUGUCCUGACAUGAACUUAGGCAUGUUUUUCUUCCAUGGAGAAGGAAACUACGGCAAAUGGGAUUUAAGUAACCAGAGGACCUUUCUGGGGGACUUGCUUUAGUGCCAUCAAGGCCACGUUCCUUUGGUCAUCAGACCAGUAGGUAACUUCUUUAUUGGCAUGCUCAACCUUGGAGCCCAGAAGGUGUGAAUUUGAAGCACUUUCCCCCCUGCUGGGAGCCUGGCACAGAUACUCUGGUCUUCUUUUAAAACUGUGUAGUGCCAUGCUUGUCUUCCAAGUGGUCCUUCUUUCUGCCGGAUGAAACUUUGGCCCAGAGUAGUUGCUUGAAGAAGGCUGCCUGGGAAGCAGAUAUGGGAUAAGGUAGCUGCCUGGCCUCGCAUUCUCAUUCAUCUUCCUGGAAGUUGCAAGGUUCUUGAUGUCAUAGACUUCAUAAGUUACCUGACCCAGGACCUGAAUAUCUCACUCACUUCUGGUCAAGUCUAGGCUCAUAUGGUACAACUGGUUGUCGGGAACCUUUCUGCAUUCUUUGGAUGUAGCAGUGUGGGAACCCAACACUCCCUUGGUCUAUCUGGGUAUGUAGGGUCUAGUGAUUUAGUAUCUCAGUUGUUCUUGGAAGCAUUUUUGCGUCUGGGGGGAGGGGCAGGAAAAUGUUGGGGGCUCUUUGCUUGCUGUAGUGGAGACCUGUGAGUAUCCAAAAACAACCCCACUCCAUCUCUAGAUCAUUGGUGGACCACCCCUUCCUGGAAGAGUUUCCAGGAGUGUGGACAUCCAUGCAUGAACAUUGUGGAGGGGUUGGGGGUCGGCUCGUGGAUGCUCAUCUUGCUUGACUGCCCAUGCUGGAGAGGAGAACCCAGUCAUUGGCCACUUCAGGUCCAGGCUUGGCUGUUGCUCUGUUUUGCUGUUUUUCAUGUUGUCAGAUCUUCUUGGGAACAAAUGACUCAGCAACCCAAAUCUCUGAGACUGUGUGGCCAAUUACUUGAAAAGUAAUUGAACGUAUUUACCUAGGCCCUAAAAUUUUGAGCCCAGGAAGGAUGGAUAUCCAGACUGGUUUUACUCUGGAUUCUUCAGGCUGCAGUUCAAUUUGGUUUUUCAAAUUCCUGCCCUGAUAGAAGGAUCUCAUGUGUGGGGUAGGCAGGCAAUGUUUUAAUUACGCUUUUUGUCCUUAAGAAAUUCCAGGGAGAAAAAGGUCCUGGUUUUUGGCCAAAAAGGCAAAAAACAACAGAAAUCAGCUAUGACUGUAAUCCUGGACUUGUCUGUGGCACAAAGAGUUAAUGGGACAGUGGUCAGGGUGAGGAACAUUUUUUCUCAGGGCUGGAGAAGCCCAUAUGGCUCAAGAAAACAUGUUGCAACAUUUAGUACAGGGCAGCCCUGUCUGGGCACUGGGGGCUGCCACUCAAAGAGUUAAGCUACUCUUAUGCCUGAGAAGGCCUCAGGGAAGGAGUGAGCCUGAAAGGACAGGGACCUCUAUGCCCCAGAGCAGUGAGGUGCAGGAGGGGUGAGGUGGGAGGGUGUGAGCUGAAAAGUGUGGCCAAGGAAGCAGAGUGUAGGCCCAACUUUUUUUGCCUUGUUUGACCAGCCUUGGCACUGCCCUCCGGCUCUCCAGGGGAAAAGCUGCAGUUCUGCUCUUGCAACACAAGGAGCAGACUGGAGAAUUUAGAUCUGCGUCACAGAGCUGAGAGAGAGAGAGAGAGAGAGAGAGAGAGAGAGAGUGAGAGAGCGAGCGAGCAAGCAAGCUCCGUCGAUAGGUCUGCUAGCAACAGCCGUGCUGCAGCAGAGAGAGAGAGAGAAAUCAAGAAACAAGUCAUAGCAACACCGGGCACCAGGUUCUGCCAGCUCACUUGCUGAGCGUUCAGAGAUCUGUCAGGGCCAGAGGCCUCUGGGUAGCCUAGGCUAGGAGAUGACACGCAAGGUGGCACGGGCGGUUCCCGUGGGGAGGAGGUGGGGUGGUGGUGGGGGGCAGGGGUGGGAGCAAGAGGUUGUGGGGCGACGGUGGAGGGUUUGAUGGGACCAAAUUCUGGAACAUUCGGGACUGCGGCACCUUACGGCGGGACCAAGAUUUGGGUCUGCGCAGGCGGCGAUGGGUGGUCCGACGGGCUUCAGGACUUGAUGGCGUAACCCCCUUCUUCCCCCACGUAUGUAUUUGCUGGGAUCAGGGGCGCUGUCUCUGUGUAUGUGGGUGCUCUGUCUUUCUCACCUUCUUUCUCGAUUUUUGCUAUUUAUUUCUCUGAGGGAGGGUUUUUUCCCACUUUAAUUUCUUUUCCCUAGUGUCAGCUGCUCAAGCCUGACCAGGGUAGAGGUGAGAGGAGUGAACCAUCCCCUGCUUCCCACCUGACCUCCCAGCUUUUACCCUAUUUCCUUCUAGUGGACAGACAGACUGGUUCUCCAAGUUGUUUGGGUGUCAGCGUCCAUCUGUCUGUCCGUGCAGGUCUUAUGUGGAAGGUAAGGGAGUGAGAAGUGCCGAAAGGAAGACAGAGGGACAGUUUUUUCCCAGGGGUUGCCUUAUUGAAAGGUCUGGCCCUGGGAUUCUGAGGCUGGUGGGGAGCCGAGUGGCCAGGGUGGGGUGUGGGCUGGGAGAAGUGGGGUAAAGCUGGUAGGUUUGUCACUGCGUAGUUGGGAAAAGUGGGGAAUGGUGACGCAGUCACUGUUGCAUCUGGUUAGGAGCUCUAUGGGGACAGGUAGUGAGGCUCCUGGGGUCUCUGUGGCCAGCUGAGAGGGGUUAAGGAUGAGCUAAGAAGGGAAGCUAGCAUUUAGAGAUUAAAUGUCAUCCUUUUGGCGUUGGAAAGUUGUUUACCUUGCGCUCUCUGUGUCUCCAUGUUGGCUCCCUUCCAGUUCACAUGUGAUGGCCUUCCCUGUACUGCUGCAUCAUUAACUAAGUGACUGAGCUGGCCUUCCAUUGGCCAGGGGAGGGCUCUCCCUCCAGACACUUCCUCUGAUUGGUGGGUGGGCCAAUGGCAGGUGAAAAGCUUUUUUUGAUUGGCUCAGGGCAGGGUAUCAAAUCUGAAUUUGCAUUUCACUUGCUUAAAGGGGAGCGGGGAGAAGCCCAGCAGCUUUCUAAAAUCUCUUUAGGGGUGUGCGUAGGCUCCUGUGUCUAUGCCUGCUUUUGACUGCCCAGUUGAAGCCUCUUCCUAUGCCUUUUAAAAUUUCACGCACUAUAAGGAGGAAGAGCUCAGGGCUCCCAAAACUUUUUAUUUAGAGGGAAGAAUGCUAGGGAGAUGGGUAUGCAGAGGGUUGACCAAAUUGGAAGAAAAUAUUUAUUCUGUAGUUUGGUGUUGGAAAAGGGAAUUUUCCAAUCAGCCACACCUCAGUGUUGCGGCAAAAUAAUUCUUGGCUCCCCUGGAAACGCAUGGGCAAGGUAGGGCAGAGCUGCUGCUGCUGAUACUGCCACCACCCUGGGCUUCCUGCUGACUCUGGGCUACUCCCUGGGGACAACAGAUUUGCAUUGACGUCCGGGGCUGUCCAGAGGCCCUCAAGAGCCAGUUGUGAGCUGAGCCCAGUAUGGGAAAGAUCUACCUUCUGGAAGCUACUACUACGUGGUGCUUGGAAAGGUGAGGAUGGGGGACUGACCCCAGGAAAUUGCUCGAAACUCCGCAUCUGGUGGGAUUUCCAGAAAAGUCAGUGGGAGACGGGAGGUUUGGAGGCCCCGGGUUAGAAAGGUUUGUCAGUCUAGGGAAUGAGGAGAAUCAGAAUAAAACUAGGGCAGCAGGCUGUCCGCCUUUGGUUGGGGGAGGGAGGCCUCGAAAAAUCAGGGUCCCGGCUCUCUAACCUGUCUUUGUCGCAGGUCUCACGUUUGUGGGGAGGGGGUUUACCAAGCCCUGCGCCAUGCGCAGUGGCCCCCACCCGUGACUGCGCAUCUGGAAGCGCAGUGCGCCCUGGGUCUCUGGCCUAGGACGAGCACCGCCCUUCUUAUUACAUAACUGAGGGCAUGGCACGCGCCUUCUCGGCCCUUCCUUGCAACCCUACCUUCUUGCUCCCCAGGGCCCAUAGAGCUGGGGAGGGUCUGACUGGGUAGCAGUGAAGGACUGCAAUCCCUGGGAGGGCUAACUCUUGUCUAGUUACUGGCAGGAGCCAAGCUUGAGGACAAAAGUGGUGGUUUUCUAGCCUCAUCUUGGGGAAGAGGCUACAGAACAUCCUUCUGAGUGCCCCAUACCACCUAUGGCCCCUAGGGCCUCUCUGGUGGAGGGGGUGGCACCCUUCUUUCACUCAUGUCCCAUCUGAUUUUUGAGAGGAUGUUUCUGAAGGAAAAGAUGUGAUGAUUAUCGGGGGCUUGGUUGGGAGGUAGUUUUGACAGUUUACUCCCCUUGUCACUGGCUUCCCCUCUUUUCCCUGGGUGGGUUUAUGAUCUUUCUGGACUCCUCUGAUGAGCUGCCAUUUUGGAGCCAUUUCUGCUGGUCUCCGACAUGGUGGCGUUGGUUUUUCUGUCCUGCUGUGCCAGUUCCGCAGAGUGGGCGGGGGGCGGGGGCUAUGACGGAGGAGGGGAAGGGGGGGCAAAAGCACAGCAGAGGCAGGCACAGUGGUGGCUGCCGCAAUGAAGGUGGCUCUAGGGGCAGAGCCGCCUAGUCCCACCCUUGGACACAGUCCUGGGUGGGGAUUCAGGUGGAAGGCGUCUGGGUAGGGGUUCAACACCUGGGCCCGGCUUUGCCAGAGCGUGGGUUUCCCAUGUCCUCAUCAGCCUGGUGCUUGGAGUAGUUCGGAAAAGCUGAGUGUCUGAAUGAGAGUGGAGGCAGAGGCUCGGCAGCUCAUCUCAGACGUGUCAGACCCGUGGUUUGUGUUCCCCAAAUAGGCUCUGUCUCCAGCAGCCUCCCUGUGGGGACAGGGAAGUGAGGUCCAUGGCAGCUUUGAGGAUCUGUUCGGAUGGUCCUGCCUGCUUACUGUUUUUCUUCUCUUUCUCCUCCAUGCCCCCUGCCAGUGCCAUGGUUCCAGCUGUAGUCCUCUUGUGAGGCUCCCCGCUGCCCGUUCCCCCUCUCUCCAGGCCCUUCUGCGUGCAGCGGCCAUCUUGUCUUUCUUGCUCAGAAACUUAAAAUGGUUUCUCAUAAUUCCCAGAGUAAAAUUCCUUCCCUUUAGCGUGAUGCUCAAUGCUGGCCGUAACUGGCCUUAGGUUUCCUGUACAGUCUUACCUCUCUCAGUUUCUUUUGGUGGACCAUAGGUUCCAACAAAACCAGGCAACUUCCUUUUCCUAUCUGUUUUCACCAGUGAUGUUUUCCAUGCCUCUUCUCCUCUGCAUCCACCUGUGGCAGUCUCACUUUCUCCGUGGACCUCUCCUGAUUUCCUUGGCAAGAAGCAGUUCUCAUAACCACCCCUGCCCUUUCAGCCAAACUUCCAUACAGUCUGUCCCUUUUUAUGGUACUUUUGUUGUGUUAUGAUUAUUUGUGUAUAAGUCUUAUGUCACCUAUCAGAUUGGGAGCUCCAGGAGGGAGGCUAGAGAAAGGAGAAGGAAAACAAAUACCUAUUUGGUGCCUUCUGUUUGACAGAUACCAUGUUAUACACUUUCCCUGCAGUUACUUCAUUUACUCCUUUCCACAGCCCUGUGGGGAGCAUCCCAUGUCUAGUAAGUGGCCUGGUCAUGACUAGAGCCCUGGUCUUCCAAAGCCUUUACAUUUUUCCUCUCUGAAUUACUGGUGUUUACAAGAUGGCUGUUAUGAAGUAGAUCCCCAAAAUUUGUCUAUUUAAGGAAUUUUGUAAGUCCCUAAUGCUCUGAGGGAGUUUGGGUGGUCAAUCUUGUGUCCAUGGUCUGGGUCCCUCAGCUGUUCCUUGACACUGUCAUUAACUUUCUCCUCUUCCUUUGUGGUCAGGUUCACUCAAGAUGAUGGCUUUUUUCUUGUAGCUGAAAUUGAUGGAUUAACUGACUCAGUUAUCCUGGUUGCCUUCCUCGUACAAGAGGAGGGAGAGGUGGAGUGGGAUACAGCAUCUUCAAAGCCAGAAUAAGCUCCAGAAUUAGAGAGCAGGGAGCAGAGACACUGGACUUGAACAGACCUAGGUUUUCAUUGUGAUCCUUCUUCUUAGCUGAGUGACUUUAGACAAGUCAUAUGAUUUAAGUUUUCAGUGAGAUGGAGCUACUACAACUGUUAUACAGAAAUGCCUAAUAUAUUGGCAGCAAAUAGGUUCCCAUCCCUACCCAGUGGUUUAUCAGGGACUUAAAAUGGGAGCAUAGCAGGGGGCUAGAGAAGAAAUGGGGGAGACAGGAGCUCCUGUGCCCUAAGUGGUAUCACAGCAGGGGCGCAGAGGAGGUAACCUAGGCGUUACGCCCUUCAAGCCUGCAAGGUGUACUGUCCCCCACCUGCCAUAAAUACCCCUUUACUUCUGCAUCAGGAACAUGCCAUGGCAUCUGAGUGGUGGGGGCUGGUGACGGCAGAGGGAGGGUCAGUGAGCUUUCCUGGGAGCCUUUUGAUGCCAGGUUAGUUUCCCUUCUUUCUGAAUCUCAGCAGUGGCUGCCUGCUUCCCUGACGCUGCUGAGUCCCACGGGAGGGGAGCUGGGCACCCUGAAGCCCCUCGUUACCAAUUCGGGGGCCGCGGAGCAGAGUGUGACGACAGCCAGUGAGUCGUCAGUCGACGGCAAUGGGGACCCUGGUGACGGCUGCUUUGUUGUUUUUUUUCCUCUUUGGAAGAUGACUCAGUGUAUCGGGAGCCGGGAGAUGGAGCUCUCAGCAGAGUGGCCAGGAUGUUCUGUCAACAUGAAAGCUACAAAAACAGCUCGGGGCUCUGAGCUGAUCCUUAGCCUGGGGUCAUUUUCAGGGAGGGCUGGACAGAGAAGGCGGCCACCGCCCGGGCAUCAGGAUGGGAGCGACACCAGGUAACUCAGCAGGGCUCUGGGAACCCUUGCAUUUUAGAGUCUGAAAAGAAAAUAACAGCUGUAUGUGUUAUUAGAUGAGCUUGGCAAAUAGGGUCACUUUUUGAGUUCUUCCCACUAGUCCCAGAUGACAGACAUCUUCCCAGGGCCCAGAAAGCCCUUUGGGAUUUUUCACCGUGGUUCUCUUUGUGAUAGUCUUGCUGGUCAUUGCCUUGAAUGAAGGGCGAUUCGCUUCUUGGGGUAGGGGUGGGCCAGGCCGACCUCAGUGAAUGCGGGCGCACCUGUACCUUGGGAGAAGUGGCCGUGGUGGGGCUGUGGCGUCUUGAGAGUCCUCUGCCGGGCGGCGCUUCAAGAUGGCGGAUCCGCAUCACCGUCACUAAGCUAAAGGCUGGCUCUUGGGCAGCCUGCGUCAGCCUCCCCUUUCCAUAUUGACCCAAAUCAGAGCUUCUCUUCUCCCCUUCAUCUUCUUCCUUUUCUUCUUAGGUGAAACAGUGGGCCUUGAGUUCUUGACCCUUUUAAUUUUGUUUGCGUCAUCAUGGCGGCUGUGGGUUCUAGGCUUUUCUCCAUACCGCAGCUUUGCGCUAUAGGC